UUGCUGGUAUGAUCGCAUCCGUUACUACAUGCAAUGCAAUCGUAUCUAUUCUUUUUUGAAGACUUUAUGAUCCAUUUGCCGUGGGUCCCACCAGCUAUGUUGGAAUACCCUAUCUUGUUUAUAAGAGCUUUGUUACAUGCAAAAUAUUCGAAAACAAUGUCCGAACAUAUAAUAUUUGCCCCGUAAUAUAGCAAAGAUCACGAAAAGGCCAGAAAACCUAUAUUAAGUUCAAAAUUUGGAGUAGAAAAAAACCAAUAGAAGAAUUCCAUUUUCCUUCCUCACUCAUCGGAGAGCUCUCUUUGGGGCUUUCCGAAAAGGUAUCACAUGCAAAGUUUGGCCUCACAGGCUAAAAGUUAUAGAGUCGUACAUUUUUAACAAAAAAAAAAAGAGAAAAGCCGAAAAAAAGAAGGAUGCAACACAAGGACUUUCCGGGAGGUCAGCCAUCCUAAUAUUACUCUCGCCCAAGCACGCUUAACUGUAGAGUUCUGAUGGGAUCCGGUGCAUUAGUGCUGGUAUGAUCGCAUCUGUUACUACAUGCAAUGCAAUCGUAUCUAUUCUUUUUUUAAGACUUUAUGAUCCAUUUACCGUGGGUCCCACCAGCUACGUAGGAAUAACCUAUCUUAUUUAUAAGAGCUUUGAUACAUGCAAAAUAUUCGAAAACAAUGUCCGAACAUAUAAUUUUCGUCCCGUAAUAUAGCAAAGAUCACAAAAAGGCCAGAAAGAGUACAUUAAGGUCAAAAUUUUGGAGUAGAAAAAAAAACCCUUCCUCAUUCAUUAAAGAGCUCUCUUUGGCAUUUCCGAAAAGGUGUCACAUGCCAAGUUCGGCCUCACGGUCUAAAAGUUAUAGAGUCAUACAUUGUUAACAAAAAAAAAGAGAAAAACCGAUUAAAAGAGUUAUGCAACACAAGGACUUUCCUGGAGGUCACCCGUCCUAGUACUACUCUCGCCCAAGCACGCUUAAAUGCGGAGUUCUGAUGGGAUCCGGUCCAUGAGUGGUGGUAUGAUCACAUCCGUUACUACAUGCAAUGCAAUCGUAUCUAUUAUUUUUUGAAGACUUUAUGAUCCAUUUGCCGUGGGUCCCACCAGCUAUGUAGGAAUACCCUAUCUUGUUUAUAAGAGCUUUGAUACAUCCAAAAUAUUCGAAAACAAUGUUGGAACGUAUAAGUUUCGCUCAGUAAUAUAGCAAAGAUCACGAAAAGGCCACAAAAAGUACAUUAAGGUAAAAAUUUAGAGUAGGAAAAAAAAACAAUAGGAGAAUUCCAUGUUCCUUCCUCAAUCAUCGGAGAGCUCUCUUUGGGCUUUCCAAAAAGGUAUCACAUGCCAAGUUUGGCCUCACGGUCUAAAAGUUAUAGAGUCAUACAUUUUUAACAAAAAAAAAUAGAGAAAAACCAAAAAAAAGAGGGAUGCAACACGAAGACUUUCCUGGAGGUCACCCAUCCUAGUACUACUCUCGCCCAAGCACGCUUAACUGCGGUGUUCUGAUAGGAUCAAGUGCAUUAGUGCUGGUAGGAUCGCAUUCGUUACUACAUGCAAUGCAAUUAUAUAUAUUCUUUUUUGAAGACUUUAUGAUCCAUUUGCGGUAGGUCCCACCAGCUAUGUAGGAAUACCCUAUCUUGCUUAUAAGAGUUUUGAUACAUGCAAAAAUAUUCGAAAACAAUGUCCGAACAUAUAAUUUUUGUCCCGUAAUAUAACAAAGAUCACGAAAAGGCCAAAAAUAGUACAUUUCGGUCAAAACAUGGAGCAGAAAAAAAACCCCUUCCUCAUUCAUCGGAGAGCUCUCAUUGGGCUUUCCGAAAAGAUAUCACAUGCAAAGUUUGGCCUCACGGUUUAAAAGUUAUAGAGUCAAAUAUUUUUAACAAAAAAAAGAGAGAAAAACCGAAAACAAAGAGGGAUGCAACACGAGGACUUUCCGGAAGGUCACCCAUCCUAGUACUACUCUAGCCCAAGCACGCUUAACCGCGGAGUUCUGAUAGGAUCCGGUGCAUUAGUGCUGGUAUGAUCGCAUCAGUUACUACAUGCAAUGCAAUCAUAUAUAUUUUUUUUGAAGACUUUAUGAUCCAUUUGCCGUGGGUCCCACCAGCUAUGUAGGAAUACCUAUCUUGUUUAUAAGAGCUUUGAUACAUGCAAAAUAUUUGAAAACAAUGUCCGAACGUAUAAUCUUCGUCCCGUAAUAUAGCAAAGAUCACGAAAAGGCCAGAAAAAGUACAUUAAGGUCAAAAUUUUGACUAGAAAAAAAAAACAAUAGAAAAAUUCCAUUGUCCUUCCUCAUUCAUCGGAGAGUUCUCUUUGGGCUUUCCGAAAAGGUAUCACAUGCCAAGUUUGGCCUCACGGUCUAAAACUUAUAGAAUCAUACAUUCUUAACAAAAAAAAAAAAAAAACCGAAAAAAAGAAGAAUGCAACACAAGGACUUUCCAGGAGGUCAACCAUCCUAGUAGUACUCUCGCCCAAUCACGCUUAACUGCAGAGUUCUGAUGGGAUCCGGUGCAUUAGUGCUGGUAUGAUCGCAUCUGUUACUACAUGCAAUGCAAUCGUAUCUAUUCUUUUUUGAAGACUUUAUGAUCCAUUUGCCGUGGGUCCCACCAGCUAUGUAGGAAUACCUUAUCUUGUUUAUAAGAGCUUUGAUACAUGCAAAAUAUUCGAAUACAAUGUCUGAACGUAUAACUUUCGCCCCGUAAUAUAGCGAAGAUCACGAAAAGGCCCGAAAAAGUACAUUAAGGUCAAAAUUUCGAGUAGAAAUAAAAACCAAUAGAAGAAUUCCAAUUUCCUUCCUCAUUCAUUGGAGAGCUCUCUUUGGGCUUUCCGAAAAGGUAUCACAUGCGAAGUUUCGCCUCACAAUCUAAAAGUUAUAUAGUCAUACAUUUUUAACAAAACAAAUAGAGAAAAACCGAAAAAAAGAAUGAUACAACACAACGACUUUCCCGGAGGUCACCCAUCCUAAUACUAUUCUCGCCCAAGCAAGCUUAACUGCAGAGUAUUGAUGGGAUCUGAUGCAUAAGUGCUGAUAUGAUCGCAUCCGUUACUACAUGCAAUGCAAUCGUAUCUAUUCGUUUUUGAAGACUUUAUGAUCCAUUUGCCGUGGGUCCCACCAGCUAUGUAGGAAUACCCUAUCUUGUUUAUAAGAGCUUUGAUACAUGCAAAAAAUUGGAAAACAAUGUCUGAACAUAUAAUUUUUGUCCCGUAAUAUAGCAAAGAUCACGAAAAGGAUAGAAAAAGUACAUUAAGGUCAAAAUUUUGAGUAGAAAAAAAAUCAAUAGAAGGAUUCCAAUUUCCUUGCUCAUUCAUAUAGCUCUCUUUGGGCUUUCCGAAAAGGUAUCACAUGCAAAGUUUGGCCUCGCGGUCUAAAAGUUAUAGAGGUAUACUUUUUUACCAAAAAAAAAGAAGAAAAAAACCAAAAAAAAGAGGGAUUCAACACGAGGACUUUCUGGGAGGUCACUCAUCCUAUUACUACUCUCGCCCAAGCACGCUUAACUGCGGAGUUCUGAUAGGAUCCAGUGCAUUAGUGCGGGUAUGAUCACAUCCGUUACUACAUGCAAUGCAAUCGUAUAUAUUUUUUUUGAAGACUUUAUGAUCCAUUUGCCGUGGGUCUCACCAGCUAUAUAGGAAUACCCUAUCUUGUUUAUAAGAGCUUUGAUACAUGCAAAAUAUUUGAAAACAAUGUCCGAACGUAUAAUCUUCGUCCCGUAAUAUAGCAAAGAUCACUAAAAGGCUAGAAAAAGUACAUUAAGAUCAAAAUUUUGAGUAGAAAAAUAAACAAUAGAAAAAUUCCAUUGUCCUUCCUCAUUCAUCGGAGAGUUCUCUUUGGGCUUUCCGAAAAGGUAUCACAUGCCAAGUUUGGCCUCACGGUCUAAAACUUAUAGAAUCAUACAUUCUUAACAAAAAAAAAAGAGAAAAACCGAAAAAAAGAAGAAUUUAACACAAGGACUUUCCAGGAGGUCAACCAUCCUAGUAGUACUCUCGCCCAAUCACGCUUAACUGCAGAGUUCUGAUGGGAUCCGGUGCAUUAGUGCUGGUAUGAUCGCAUCUGUUACUACAUGCAAUGCAAUCGUAUCUGUUACUACAUGCAAUGCAAUCGUAUCUGUUACUACAUGCAAUGCAAUCGUAUCUAUUCUUUUUUGAAGACUUUAUGAUCCAUUUGCCGUGGGUCCCACCAGCUAUGUAGGAAUACCCUAUCUUGUUUAUAAGAGCUUUGAUACAUGCAAAAUAUUCGAAUACAAUGUCUAAACGUAUAAGUUUCGCCCCGUAAUAUAGCGAAGAUCACGAAAAGGCCCGAAAAAGUACAUUAAGGUCAAAAUUUGGAGUAGAAAUAAAAACCAAUAGAAGAAUUCCAAUUUCCUUCCUCAUUCAUUGGAGAGCUCUCUUUGGGCUUUCCGAAAAGGUAUCACAUGCGAAGUUUGGCCUCACAAUCUAAAAGUUAUAUAGUCAUACAUUUUUAACAAAACAAAUAGAGAAAAACCGAAAAAAAGAAUGAUACAACACAAGGACUUUCCGGGAGGUCACCCAUCCUAAUACUAUUCUCGCCCAAGCAAGCUUAACUGCAGAGUAUUGAUGGGAUCUGAUGCAUAAGGGCUGAUAUGAUCGCAUCCGUUACUACAAGCAAUGCAAUCGUAUCUAUUCGUUUUUGAAGACUUUAUGAUCCAUUUGCCGUGGGUCCCACCAGCUAUGUAGGAAUACCCUAUCUUGUUUAUAAGAGCUUUGAUACAUGCAAAAAAUUGGAAAACAAUGUCUGAACAUAUAAUUUUUGUCCCGUAAUAUAGCAAAGAUCACGAAAAGGAUAGAAAAAGUACAUUAAGGUCAAAAUUUUGAGUAGAAAAAAAAUCAAUAGAAGGAUUCCAAUUUCCUUCCUCAUUCAUAUAGCUCUCUUUGGGCUUUCCGAAAAGGUAUCACAUGCAAAGUUUGGCCCCGCGGUCUAAAAGUUAUAGAGGUAUACAUUUUUACCAAAAAAAAGAGGGAUUCAACACGAGGACUUUUUUNNNNNNNNNNNNNNNNNNNNNNNNNNNNNNNNNNNNNNNNNNNNNNNNNNUGCUGGUAUGAUCGCAUCAGUUACUACAUGCAAUGCAAUCAUAUAUAUUCUUUUUUGAAGACUUUAUGAUCCAUUUGCCGUAGGUCCCACCAGCUAUGUAGGAAUACCCUAUCUUGUUUAUAAGAGCUUUGAUACAUGCAAAAUAUUCGAAAACAAUGUCCGAACAUAUAAUUUUUGUCCCGUAAUAUAGCAAAGAUCACGAAAAGGCCAGAAAAAAUACAUUUCGGUCAAAAUUUGGAGUAGAAAAAAAGCCCUUCCUCAUUCAUUGGACAGCUCUCUUUGGGCUUUCCGAAAAGGUAUCACAUGCCAAGUUUGGCCUCACGGUCUAAACCUUAUAGACUCAUACAUUUUUCACAAAAAAAAGAAGAGAAAAACCAAAAAAAAGAGUGAUUAAACACGAGGAUUUUCCUGGAGGUCACCCAUCCUAGUACUACUCUCGCCCAAGCACGCUUAACUGCGAAGGUCUGAUGGGAUAUGGUGCAUUAGUGCUGGUAUGAUCGCAUCUGUUACUACAUGCAAUGCAAUCGUAUCUAUUCUUUUUUGAAGAUUUGAUGAUUCAUUUACCGUGGGUCCCACCAGCUAUGUAGGAAUAACCUAUCUUAUUUAUAAAAGCUUUGAUACAUGCAAAAUAUUCGAAAACAAUGUCCGAACAUAUAAUGUUCGCCCCAAAAUAUAGCAAAGACCACAAAAAUGCCAUAAAAAGUACAUUAAGGUCAAAAUUUGGAGUAGGAAAAAAAUCAAUAGGAGAAUUCCAUUUUCCUUCCCUCAUUCAUCAGAGAGCUCUCUUUGGGCAUUCCAAAAAGGUAUCACAUGCCAAGUUUGGCCUCACGGUCUAAAAGUUAUAGAGUAUUACAUUUUUAACAAAAAAAAAAGGGAAAAACCGAAAAAGAGGGAUGCAACACGAAGACUUUUCUGGAGGUCACCCAUUCUAGUACUACUCUCCCCCAAGCACGCUUAACUGUGGUGUUCUAAUAGGAUCAAGUGCAUUAGUGCUGGUAUGAUCGCAUCAGUUACUACAUGCAAUGCAAUCAUAUAUAUUCUUUUUUGAAGACUUUAUGAUCCAUUUGCCGUAGGUCCCACCAGCUAUGUAGGAAUACCCUAUCUUGUUUAUAAGAGCUUUGAUACAUGCAAAAUAUUCGAAAACAAUGUCCGAACAUAUAAUUUUUGUCCCGUAAUAUAGCAAAGAUCACGAAAAGGCCAGAAAAAAUACAUUUCGGUCAAAAUUUGGAGUAGAAAAAAAGCCCUUCCUCAUUCAUUGGACAGCUCUCUUUGGGCUUUCCGAAAAGGUAUCAUAUGCCAAGUUUGGCCUCACGGUCUAAACCUUAUAGACUCAUACAUUUUUCACAAAAAAAAGAAGAGAAAAACCAAAAAAAAGAGUGAUUAAACACGAGGACUUUCCUGGAGGUCAUCCAUCCUAGUACUACUCUCGCCCAAGCACGCUUAAUUGCGAAGUUCUGAUGGGAUCUGGUGCAUUAGUGCUGGUAUGAUCGCAUAUGUUACUACAUGCAAUGCAAUCGUAUCUAUUCUUUUUUGAAGAUUUUAUGAUUCAUUUACCGUGGGUACCACCAGCUAUGUAGGAAUAACCUAUCUUAUUUAUAAGAGCUUUGAUACAUGCAAAAUAUUCGAAAACAAUGUCCGAACAUAUAAUUUUUGUCCCGUAAUAUAGCAAAGAUCACGAAAAGGCCAGAAAAAAUACAUUUCGGUCAAAAUUUGGAGUAGAAAAAAACCCUUCCUCAUUCAUUGGACAGCUCUGUUUGAGCUUUCCGAAAAGGUAUCACAUGCCAAGUUUGGCCUCACGGUCUAAAAGUUAUAGAGUCAUACAUUUUUCACAAAAAAAAGAAGAGAAAAACCAAAAAAAAGAGUGAUGAAACACGAGGACUUUCCUGGAGGUCACCCAUCCUAGUACUACUCUCGCCCAAGCACGCGUAACUGCGAAGUUCUGAUGGGAUCUGGUGCAUUAGUGCUGGUAUGAUCGCAUCUGUUACUACAUGCAAUGCAAUCGUAUCUAUUCUUUUUUGAAGAUUUUAUGAUUCAUUUACCGUGGGUCCCACCAGCUAUGUAGGAAUAACCUAUCUUAUUUAUAAGAGCUUUGAUACAUGCAAAAUAUUGGAAAACAAUGUCCGAACAUAUAAUGUUCGCCCCAAAAUAUAGCAAAGACAACAAAAAUCCCAUAAAAAGUACAUUAAGGUCAAAAUUUGGAGUAGGAAAAAAAUCAAUAAGAGAAUUCCAUUUUCCUUCCCUCAUUCAUCGGAGAGGUCUCUUUGGGCAUUCCAAAAAGGUAUCACAUGCCAAGUUUGGCCUCACGGUCUAAAAGUUAUAGAGUAAUACAUUUUUAACAAAAAAAAAAGAGAAAAACCGAAAAAAAGAGGGAUGCAACACGAAGACUUUUCUGGAGGUCACCCAUCCUAGUACUACUCUCCCAAAGCACGCUUAACUGUGGUGUUCUGAUAGGAUCAAGUGCAUUAGUGCGGGUAUGAUCGCAUCAGUUACUACAUGCAAUGCAAUCAUAUAUAUUCUUUUUUGAAGACUUUAUGAUCCAUUUGCCGUAGGUCCCACCAGCUAUGUAGGAAUACCCUAUCUUGUUUAUAAGAGCUUUGAUACAUGCAAAAUAUUCGAAAACAAUGUCCGAACAUAUAAUUUUUGUCCCGUAAUAUAGCAAAGAUCACGAAAAGGCCAGGAAAAAUACAUUUCGGUCAAAAUUUGGAGUAGAAAAAAAACCCUUCCUCAUUCAUUGGACAGCUCUCUUUGGGCUUUCCGAAAAGGUAUCACAUGCCAAGUUUGGCCUCACGGUCUAAAAGUUAUAGAUUCAUACAUUUUUCACAAAAAAAAGAAGAGAAAAACCAAAAAAAAGAGGGAUGAAACACGAGGACUUUCCCAGAGGUCACCCAUCCUAGUACUACUCUCGCCCAAGCACGCUUAACUGCGAAGUUCUGAUGGGAUCUGGUGCAUUAGUGCUGGUAUGAUCGCAUCUGUUACUACAUGCAAUGCAAUCGUAUCUAUUCUUUUUUGAAGAUUUUAUGAUUCAUUUACCGUGGGUCCCACCAGCUAUGUAGGAAAACCUAUCUUAUUUAUAAGAUCUUUGAUACAUGCAAAAUAUUGGAAAACAAUGUCCGAACAUAUAAUGUUCGCCCCAAAAUAUAGCGAAGACCACAAAAAUGCCAUAAAAAGUACAUUAAGGUCAAAAUUUGGAGUAGGAAAAAAAUCAAUAGGAGAAUUCCAUUUUCCUUCCCUCAUUCAUCGGAGAGCUCUCUUUGGGCAUUCCAAAAAGGUAUCACAUGCCAAGUUUGGCCUCACGGUCUAAAAGUUAUAGAAUAUUACAUUUUUAACAAAAAAAAAGAGAAAAACCAAAAAAAAGAGGGAUGCAACACGAGGACUUUUCUGGAGGUCACCCAUCCUACUACUACUCUCGCCCAAGCACACUUAACUGCGGUGUUCUGAUAGGAUCAAGUGCAUUAGUGCUGGUAUGAUCGCAUCAGUUACUACAUGCAAUGCAAUCAUAUAUAUUCUUUUUUGAAGACUUUAUGAUCCAUUUGCCGUAGGUCCCACCAGCUAUGUAGGAAUACCCUAUCUUGUUUAUAAGAGCUUUGAUACAUGCAAAAUAUUCGAAAACAAUGUCCGAACAUAUAAUUUUUGUCCCGUAAUAUAGCAAAGAUCACGAAAAGGCCAGAAAAAAUACAUUUUGGUCAAAAUUUGGAGUAGAAAAAAAGCCCUUCCUCAUUCAUUGGACAGCUCUCUUUGGGCUUUCCGAAAAGGUAUCACAUGCCAAGUUUGGCCUCACGGUCUAAACCUUAUAGACUCAUACAUUUUUCACAAAAAAAAGAAGAGAAAAACCAAAAAAAAGAGUGAUUAAACACGAGGAUUUUCCUGGAGGUCACCCAUCCUAGUACUACUCUCGCCCAAGCACGCUUAACUGCGAAGGUCUGAUGGGAUAUGGUGCAUUAGUGCUGGUAUGAUCGCAUCUGUUACUACAUGCAAUGCAAUCGUAUCUAUUCUUUUUUGAAGAUUUGAUGAUUCAUUUACCGUGGGUCCCACCAGCUAUGUAGGAAUAACCUAUCUUAUUUAUAAAAGCUUUGAUACAUGCAAAAUAUUCGAAAACAAUGUCCGAACAUAUAAUGUUCGCCCCAAAAUAUAGCAAAGAUCACAAAAAUGCCAUAAAAAGUACAUUAAGGUCAAAAUUUGGAGUAGGAAAAAAAUCAAUAGGAGAAUUCCAUUUUCCUUCCCUCAUUCAUCGGAGAGCUCUCUUUGGGCAUUCCAAAAAGGUAUCACAUGCCAAGUUUGGCCUCACGGUCUAAAAGUUAUAGAGUAUUACAUUUUUAACAAAAAAAAAAGGGAAAAACCGAAAAAGAGGGAUGCAACACGAAGACUUUUCUGGAGGUCACCCAUCCUAGUACUACUCUCCCCCAAGCACGCUUAACUGUGGUGUUCUAAUAGGAUCAUGUGCAUUAGUGCUGGUAUGAUCGCAUCAGUUACUACAUGCAAUGCAAUCAUAUAUAUUCUUUUUUGAAGACUUUAUGAUCCAUUUGCCGUAGGUCCCACCAGCUAUGUAGGAAUACCCUAUCUUGUUUAUAAGAGCUUUGAUACAUGCAAAAUAUUCGAAAACAAUGUCCGAACAUAUAAUUUUUGUCCCGUAAUAUAGCAAAGAUCACGAAAAGGCCAGAAAAAAUACAUUUCGGUCAAAAUUUGGAGUAGAAAAAAAGCCCUUCCUCAUUCAUUGGACAGCUCUCUUUGGGCUUUCCGAAAAGGUAUCAUAUGCCAAGUUUGGCCUCACGGUCUAAACCUUAUAGACUCAUACAUUUUUCACAAAAAAAAGAAGAGAAAAACCAAAAAAAAGAGUGAUUAAACACGAGGACUUUCUUGGAGGUCAUCCAUCCUAGUACUACUCUCGCCCAAGCACGCUUAACUGCGAAGUUCUGAUGGGAUCUGGUGCAUUAGUGCUGGUAUGAUCGCAUCUGUUACUACAUGCAAUGCAAUCGUAUCUAUUCUUUUUUGAAGAUUUUAUGAUUCAUUUACCGUGGGUACCACCAGCUAUGUAGGAAUAACCUAUCUUAUUUAUAAGAGCUUUGAUACAUGCAAAAUAUUCGAAAACAAUGUCCGAACAUAUAAUUUUUGUCCCGUAAUAUAGCAAAGAUCACGAAAAGGCCAGAAAAAAUACAUUUUGGUCAAAAUUUGGAGUAGAAAAAAACCCUUCCUCAUUCAUUGGACAGCUCUGUUUGAGCUUUCCGAAAAGGUAUCACAUGCCAAGUUUGGCCUCACGGUCUAAAAGUUAUAGAGUCAUACAUUUUUCACAAAAAAAAAGAAGAGAAAAACCAAAAAAAAGAGUGAUGAAACACGAGGACUUUCCUGGAGGUCACCCAUCCUAGUACUACUCUCGCCCAAGCACGCGUAACUACGAAGUUCUGAUGGGAUCUGGUGCAUUAGUGCUGGUAUGAUCGCAUCUGUUACUACAUGCAAUGCAAUCGUAUCUAUUCUUUUUUGAAGAUUUUAUGAUUCAUUUACCGUGGGUCCCACCAGCUAUGUAGGAAUAACCUAUCUUAUUUAUAAGAGCUUUGAUACAUGCAAAAUAUUGGAAAACAAUGUCCGAACAUAUAAUGUUCGCCCCAAAAUAUAGCAAAGACAACAAAAAUGCCAUAAAAAGUACAUUAAGGUCAAAAUUUGGAGUAGGAAAAAAAUCAAUAAGAGAAUUCCAUUUUCCUUCCCUCAUUCAUCGGAGAGCUCUCUUUGGGCAUUCCAAAAAGGUAUCACAUGCCAAGUUUGGCCUCACGGUCUAAAAGUUAUAGAGUAGUACAUUUUUAACAAAAAAAAAAGAGAGAAACCGAAAAAAAGAGGGAUGCAACACGAAGACUUUUCUGGAGGUCACCCAUCCUAGUACUACUCUCCCAAAGCACGCUUAACUGUGGUGUUCUGAUAGGAUCAAGUGCAUUAGUGCGGGUAUGAUCGCAUCAGUUACUACAUGCAAUGCAAUCAUAUAUAUUCUUUUUUGAAGACUUUAUGAUCCAUUUGCCGUAGGUCCCACCAGCUAUGUAGGAAUACCCUAUCUUGUUUAUAAGAGCUUUGAUACAUGCAAAAUAUUCGAAAACAAUGUCCGAACAUAUAAUUUUUGUCCCGUAAUAUAGCAAAGAUCACGAAAAGGCCAGGAAAAAUACAUUUCGGUCAAAAUUUGGAGUAGAAAAAAAACCCUUCCUCAUUCAUUGGACAGCUCUCUUUGGGCUUUCCGAAAAGGUAUCACAUGCCAAGUUUGGCCUCACGGUCUAAAAGUUAUAGAUUCAUACAUUUUUCACAAAAAAAAGAAGAGAAAAACCAAAAAAAAGAGGGAUGAAACACGAGGACUUUCCCAGAGGUCACCCAUCCUAGUACUACUCUCGCCCAAGCACGCUUAACUGCGAAGUUCUGAUGGGAUCUGGUGCAUUAGUGCUGGUAUGAUCGCAUCUGUUACUACAUGCAAUGCAAUCGUAUCUAUUCUUUUUUGAAGAUUUUAUGAUUCAUUUACCGUGGGUCCCACCAGCUAUGUAGGAAAACCUAUCUUAUUUAUAAGAUCUUUGAUACAUGCAAAAUAUUGGAAAACAAUGUCCGAACAUAUAAUGUUCGCCCCAAAAUAUAGCGAAGACCACAAAAAUGCCAUAAAAAGUACAUUAAGGUCAAAAUUUGGAGUAGGAAAAAAAUCAAUAGGAGAAUUCCAUUUUCCUUCCCUCAUUCAUCGGAGAGCUCUCUUUGGGCAUUCCAAAAAGGUAUCACAUGCCAAGUUUGGCCUCACGGUCUAAAAGUUAUAGAAUAUUACAUUUUUAACAAAAAAAAAGAGAAAAACCGAAAAAAAGAGGGAUGCAACACGAAGACUUUUCUGGAGGUCACCCAUCCUACUACUACUCUCGCCCAAGCACACUUAACUGCGGUGUUCUGAUAGGAUCAAGUGCAUUAGUGCUGGUAUGAUCGCAUCAGUUACUACAUGCAAUACAAUCAUAUAUAUUCUUUUUUGAAGACUUUAUGAUCCAUUUGCCGUAGGUCCCACCAGCUAUGUAGGAAUACCUUAUCUUGUUUAUAAGAGCUUUGAUACAUGCAAAAUAUUCGAAAACAAUGUCCGAACAUAUAAUUUUUGUCCCGUAAUAUAGCAAAGAUCACGAAAAGGCCAGAAAAAAUACAUUUCGGUCAAAAUUUGGAGUAGAAAAAAAACCCUUCCUCAUUCAUUGGACAGCUCUCUUUGGGCUUUCCGAAAAGGUAUCACAUGCCAAGUUUGGCUUCACGGUCUAAACCUUAUAGACUCAUACAUUUUUCACAAAAAAAAGAAGAGAAAAACAAAAAAAAAGAGUGAUUAAACACGAGGACUUUCCUGGAGGUCACCCAUCCUAGUACUACUCUCGCCCAAGCACUCUUAACUGCGAAGUUCUGAUGGGAUCUGGUGCAUUAGUGCUGGUAUGAACGCAUCUGUUACUACAUGCAAUGCAAUCGUAUGUAUUCUUUUUUGAAGAUUUUAUGAUUCAUUUACCGUGGGUCCCACCAGCUAUGUAGGAAUAACCUAUCUUAUUUAUAAAAGCUUUGAUACAUGCAAAAUAUUCGAAAACAAUGUCCGAACAUAUAAUGUUCGCCCCAAAAUAUAGCAAAGACCACAAAAAUGCCAUAAAAAGUACAUUAAGGUCAAAAUUUGGAGUAGGAAAAAAAUCAAUAGGAGAAUUCCAUUUUCCUUCCCUCAUUCAUCGGAGAGCUCUCUUUGGGCAUUCCAAAAAGGUAUCACAUGCCAAGUUUGGCCUCACGGUCUAAAAGUUAUAGAGUAUUACAUUUUUAACAAAAAAAAAAAGAGAAAAACCGAAAAAAAGAGGGAUGCAACACGAAGACUUUUCUGGAGGUCACCCAUCCUAGUACUACUCUCCCCCAAGCACGCUUAACUGUGGUGUUCUGAUAGGAUCAAGUGCAUUAGUGCUGGUAUGAUCGCAUCAGUUACUACAUGCAAUGCAAUCAUAUAUAUUCUUUUUUGAAGACUUUAUGAUCCAUUUGCCGUAGGUCCCACCAGCUAUGUAGGAAUACCCUAUCUUGUUUAUAAGAGCUUUGAUACAUGCAAAAUAUUCGAAAACAAUGUCCGAACAUAUAAUUUUUGUCCCGUAAUAUAGCAAAGAUCACGAAAAGGUCAGAAAAAAUAUAUUUCGGUCAAAAUUUGGAGUAGAAAAAAAGCCCUUCCUCAUUCAUUGGACAGCUCUCUUUGGGCUUUCCGAAAAGGUAUCACAUGCCAAGUUUGGCCUCACGGUCUAAACCUUAUAGACUCAUACAUUUUUCAUAAAAAAAAGAAGAGAAAAACAAAAAAAAAAAGAGUGAUUAAACACGAGGACUUUCCUGGAGGUCACCCAUCCUAGUACUACUCUCGCCCAAGCACGCUUAACUACGAAGUUCCGAUGGGAUCUGAUGCAUUAGUGCUGGUAUGAUCGCAUCUGUUACUACAUGCAAUGCAAUCGUAUCUAUUCUUUUUUGAAGAUUUUAUGAUUCAUUUACUGUGGGUCCCACCAGCUAUGUAGGAAUAACCUAUCUUAUUUAUAAAAGCUUUGAUACAUGCAAAAUAUUGGAAAACAAUGUCCGAACAUAUAAUGUUCGCCCCAAAAUAUAGCAAAGACCACAAAAAUGCCAUAAAAAGUACAUUAAGGUCAAAAUUUGGAGUAGGAAAAAAAUCAAUAGGAGAAUUCCAUUUUCCUUCCCUCAUUCAUCGGAGAGCUCUCUUUGGGCAUUCCAAAAAGGUAUCACAUGCCAAGUUUGGCCUCACGGUCUAAAAGUUAUAGAGUAAUACAUUUUUAACAAAAAAAAAAAAGAAAAAAACCGAAAACAAAGAGGGAUGCAACACGAAGACUUUCCUGGAGGUCACCCAUCCUAGUACUACUCUCACCCAAGCACACNUUAACUGUGGUGUUCUGAUAGGAUCAAGUGCAUUAGUGCUGGUAUGAUCGCAUCAGUUACUACAUGCAAUGCAAUCNNNNNNNNNNNNNNNNNNNNNNNNNNNNNNNNNNNNNNNNNNNNNNNNNNCUCCUCAGUCAUCUUUGAGCUCUCUUUGGGCUUUCCGAAAAGGUAUCACAUGCCCAGUUUGGCCUCACGGUCUAAAAGUUAUAAAGUCAUACAUUUUUAACAAAAAAAAAAGAGAAAAACCGAAAAAAAGAGGGAUGCAAUACGAGGACUUUCCACGAGGUCACCCAUCCUAGUACAACUCUCGCCAAAGCAUGCUUAACUGCGGAGUUUAGAUGGGAUCUGGUGCAUUAGUGCUGGUAUGAUCGCAUCUGUUACUACAUGCAAUGCAAUCGUAUCUAUUCUUAUUUAAAGACUUUAUCAUCCAUUUGCCAUGGGUCCCACCUGUAGGAAUACCCAAUCUUGUUUAUAAGAGCUUUGAUACAUGCAAAAUAUUCGAAAACAACGUCCGAACAUAUAAUUUUCGCCCCGUAAUAUAGCAAAGAUCACGAAAAGGCCCGAAAAAGUACAUUAAGGUCAAAAUUUGGAAUAGAAAAAAAAACCAAAAGAAGUAUUCCAUUGUCCUUUGUCAUUCAUCGAAGAGCUCUCUUUGGGCUUUCCGAAAAGGUAUCGCAAGCCAAGUUUGGCCUCACGGUUUAAAAGUUAUAAAGUCAUACAUUUUUAACAAAAAAAAAAAGAGAAAAAACCGAAAAAAAGAGGGAUGCAACACGAGGACUUUUCUGGAGGUCACCCAUCCUAGUACUACUCUCGCCCGAUCACCCUUAACUGCGUAGUUUUGAUGGGAUUCGAUGCAUUAGUGCUGGUAUGAUCGCAUCUGUUACUACAUGCAAUGUAAUCGUAUCUAUUCUUUUUUAAAGACUUUAUGAUCCAUUUGCCGUGGGUCCCACCAGCUAUGUAGGAAUACCCUAUCUUCUUUAUAAGAGCUUUGAUAUAUGCAAAAUAGUGGAAAACCAUGUCCGAACAUAUAAUUUUUCCCCUGUAAUAUAGCAAAGAUCAAGAAAAAGCCAAAAAAAGUAUAUUUAGGUCAAAAUUUGGAGUAGAAAAAAAAACAAUAGAAGAAUUCCAUUUUCCUUCCUCAGUCAUCGGAGAGCUCUCUUUCGGCUUUCCGAAAAGGUAUCAAAUGCCAAGUUUGGCCUCACGGUCUAAAAGUUAUAGAGUCAUACAUUUUUAACAAUACAAAGUAGAGAAAACCGGAAAAAAGAGGGAUGCAACAUGAGGACUUUCCGGGAGGUAAUCCAUCCUAGUACAACUCUUGCCCAAGCACCCUUAACUGCGGAGUUCUGAUGGAAUCCGGUGCAUUAGUGCUGGUAUGAUCGCAUCUGUUACUACAUGCAAUGUAAUCGUAUCUAUUUUUUUUUAAAGACUUUAUGAUCCAUUUGCCGUGGGUCCCACCAGCUAUGUAGGAAUACCCUAUCUUCUUUAUAAGAGCUUUGAUACAUGCAAAAUAUAUGAAAAAACGUUCGAACAUAUAAUUUUUCCCCCCGUAAUAUAGCAAAGAUCACGAAAAGGCCCGAAAAAGUACAUUUAGUUCAAAAUUUGGAGUAGAAAAACCCAAUAGAAGAAUUCCAUUUUCCUUCGUCAUUCAUCGGAGAGCUCUCUUUGGGCUUUCCGAAAAGGUAUCACAUGCCAAGUUUGGCCUCACGGUCUAAAAGUUAUAGAGUCAUACAUUUUUAACAAAACAAAAUUGAGAAAAACCGAAAAAAGAGGGAUGCAACACGAGGACUCUCCAGAAGGUAACCCAUCUUAGUACUACUUUCGCCCAAGCACCCUUAACUGCGGAGUUCUGAUAGGACCCGGUGCAUUAGUGCUGGUAUGAUCGCAUGUGUUACUACAUGCAAUGUAAUCGUAUAUAUUCAUUUUUAAAGACUUUAUGAUCCAUUUGCCGUGGGUCCUACCAGCUAUGUAGAAAUACCCUAUCUUCUUUAUAAGAGCUUUCAUUCACGCAAAAUAAUGGAAAACAAUGUCCGAAGAUAUAAUUCCCCCCCCCCCCCCCCCGUAAUAUAGCAAAGAUCACGAAAAGGCCCGAAAAAGUACAUUAAGUUCAAAAUUUGGAGUAGAAAAAAAAACAAUAGAAGAAUUCCAUUUUCCUUCCUCAGUCAUCGGAGAGCUCUCUUUGGGCUUUCCGAAAAGGUAUCACAUGCCAAGUUUGGCCUCACGGUCUAAAGGUUAUAGAGUCAUACAUUUUUAACAAAAAAAAAUAGAAAAACAGAAAAAAGAGGGAUGCAAUACGAGGACUUUCCAGGAGGUCACCCAUCCUAGUACAACUCUCGCCGAAGCACGCUUAACUACGGUGUUCAGAUGGAAUCUGGUGCAUUAGUGCUGGUAUGAUGUCAUUUGUUACUACAUGCAAUGCAAUCAUAUCUAUUCUUAUUUAAAGACUUUAUGAUCCAUUUGCCGUGGGUCCCACCUGUAGGAAUACCCUAUCUUGUUUAUAAAAGAUUUGAUACAUGCAAAAUACUCGAAAACAAUGUCCGAACAUAUAAUUUUCACCCCGUAAUAUAGCAAAGAUCACGAAAAGGCCCGAAAAAGUACAUUAAAGUCAAAAUUUGGAGUAGAAAAAAACCCAAUAGAAGUAUUCCAUUCUCCUUCGUCAUUCAUCGGAGAGCUCUCUUUAGGCUUUCCGAAAAGAUAUCACAUGCCAAGUUUGGCCUCACGGUUUAAAAGUUAUAGAGUCAUAGAUUUUUAACAAAACAAAAAGAGAAAAACCGAAAAAAAAUUGGGAUGCAACACGAGGACUUUCCUGGAGGUCACCCAUCCUAGUACUACUCUUGCCCAAGCACCCUUAACUGCGUAGUUCUGAUGGGAUCCGAUGCUUUAGGGCUGGUAUGAUCGCAUCUGUUACUACAUGCAAUGUAAUCGUAUCUAUUCUUUUUUAAAGACUUUAUGAUCCAUUUGCCGUGGGUCCCACCAGCUAUGUAGGAAUACCCUAUCUUCUUUAUAAGAGCUUUGAUAAAUGCAAAAUAUUGGAAAGCAAUGUCCGAACAUAUAAUUUCGCCCCCGUAAUAUAGCAAAGAUCACGAAAAAGCCCAAAAAAGUUCAUUUAGGUCAAAAUUUGAGCAGAAGAAAAAGAAAUAGAAGAAUUCCAUUUUCCUUCCUCAUUUAUUGGAGAGCUCUCUUUGGGCUUUCCGAAAAGGUAUCACAUGCCAAGUUUGGCCUCACGGUCUAAAAGUUAUAGAGUCAUACAGUUUUAACAAAAUGAAAUAGAGAAAAACCGAAAAAAAGAGGGAUGUAACACGAGGACUUUCCGGGAGGUAAUCUAUCCUACUACUACUCUCGGCCAAGCACCCUUAACUGCGGAGUUCUAAUGGGAUCCGGUGCAUUAGUGCUAGUAUGAUCGCAUGUGUUACUACAUGCAAUGUAAUCGUAUCUAUUCUUUUUUAAAGACUUUAUGAUCCAUUUGCCGUGGGUCCCACCAGCUAUGUAGGAAUACCCUAUCUUCUUUAUAAGAGCUUUGAUACAUGCAAAAUAUAUGAAAAAAACGUCCGAACAUAUAAUUUUCCCCCCGUAAUAUAGCAAAGAUCAUGAAAAGGCCCAAAAAAGUACAUUAAUGUCAAAAUUUGGCGUAGAAAAAAAACCAAUAGACAUAUUCCAUUGUCCUUCAUCAUUCAUUGAAGAGCUCUCUUUGGGCUUUCCGAAAAGGUAUCACAUGCCAAGUUUGGCCUCACGGUCUAAAAGUUAUAGAGUCAUACAUUUUUAACAAUACAAAAUAGAGAAAAACCGAAAAAAAGAGGGAUGCAACACGAGGACUUUCCGGGAGGUAAUCCAUCCUAGUACUACUCUCGCCCAAGCACCCUUAACUGCGGAGUUCUGAUGGGACCCGGUGCAUUAGUGCUGGUAUGAUCGCAUCUGUUACUAUAUGCAAUGUAAUCGUAUCUAUUCUUUUUUAAAGACUUUAUGAUCCAUUUGCCGUGGGUCCCACCAGCUAUGUAGGAAUACCCUAUCUUCUUUAUAAGAGCUUUGAUAUAUGCAAAAUAUUGGAACACCAUGUCCGAACAUAUAAUUUUUCCCGUGUAAUAUAGCAAAGAUCAAGAAAAAGACAAAAGAGUACAUUUAGGUCAAAAUUUGAGUAGAAAAAAACAAAUAGAAGAAUUCCAUUUUCCUUCCUCAUUCAGCUGAGAGCUCUCUUUGGGCUUUCCGAAAAGGUAUCAUAUGCCAAGUUUGGCCUCACAGUGUAAAAGUUAUAGAGUCUAACAUUUUUAACAAAACAAAAUAGAGAAAAACCAAAAAAAGAGGGAUGCAACACGAGGACUUUCUGGGAGGUCACCCAUCCUAGUACUACUCUCGCCCAAGCACCCUUAACUGCGGAGUUCUGAUGGGAUCCGGUGCAUUAGUGCAGGUAUGAUCGCAUGUGUUACUACAUGCAAUGUAAUCCUAUCUAUUCUUUCUUAAAGACUUUAUGAUCCAUUUGCCGUGAGUCCCACCAGCUAUGUAGGAAUACCCUAUCUUCUUUAUAAGAGCUUUGAUACAUGCAAAAUAUUGGAAAACAAUAUCCGAACAUAUAGUUUUCCCCCCGUAAUAUAGCAAAGAUCACGAAAAGGCCCGAAAAAGUACAUUUAGUUCAAAAUUGGGAGUAGAAAAAAAAACAAUAGAAGAAUUCCAUUUUACUUCCUCAGUCAUCGGAGAGCUCUCUUUGGGCUUUCCGAAAAGGUAUCACAUGCCCAGUUUGGCCUCACGGUCUAAAAGUUAUAAAGUCAUACAUUUUUAACAAAAACAAAAGAGAAAAACCGAAAAAAAAGAGGGAUGCAAUACGAGGACUUUCCACGAGGUCACCCAUCCUAGUACAACUCUCGCCGAAGCAUGCUUAACUGCGGAGUUUAGAUGGGAUCUGGUGCAUUAGUGCUGGUAUGAUCGCAUCUGUUACUACAUGCAAUGCAAUCGUAUCUAUUCUUAUUUAAAGACUUUAUCAUCCAUUUGCCAUGGGUCCCACCUGUAGGAAUACCCAAUCUUGUUUAUAAGAGCUUUGAUACAUGCAAAAUAUUCGAAAACAACGUCCGAACAUAUAAUUUUCGCCCCGUAAUAUAGCAAAGAUCACGAAAAGGCCCGAAAAAGUACAUUAAGGUCAAAAUUUGGAAUAGAAAAAAAAACCAAUAGAAGUAUUCCAUUGUCCUUUGUCAUUCAUCGAAGAGCUCUCUUUGGGCUUUCCGAAAAGGUAUCGCAAGCCAAGUUUGGCCUCACGGUUUAAAAGUUAUAAAGUCAUACAUUUUUAACAAAAAAAAAAAGAGAAAAAACCGAAAAAAAGAGGGAUGCAACACGAGGACUUUUCUGGAGGUCACCCAUCCUAAUACUUCUCUCGCCCGAUCACCCUUAACUACGUAGUUUUGAUGGGAUUCGAUGCAUUAGUGCUGGUAUGAUCGCAUCUGUUACUACAUGCAAUGUAAUCGUAUCUAUUCUUUUUUAAAGACUUUAUGAUCCAUUUGCCGUGGGUCCCACCAGCUAUGUAGGAAUACCCUAUCUUCUUUAUAAGAGCUUUGAUAUAUGCAAAAUAUUGGAAAACCAUGUCCGAACAUAUAAUUUUUCCCCUGUAAUAUAGCAAAGAUCAAGAAAAAGCCAAAAAAGUAUAUUUAGGUCAAAAUUUGGAGUAGAAAAAAAAACAAUAGAAGAAUUCCAUUUUCCUUCCUCAGUCAUCGGAGAGCUCUCUUUGGGCUUUCCGAAAAGGUAUCAAAUGCCAAGUUUGGCCUCACGGUCUAAAAGUUAUAGAGUCAUACAUUUUUAACAAUACAAAGUAGAGAAAACCGGAAAAAAGAGGGAUGCAACAUGAGGACUUUCCGGGAGGUAAUCCAUCCUAGUACAACUCUUGCCCAAGCACCCUUAACUGCGGAGUUCUGAUGGAAUCCGGUGCAUUAGUGCUGGUAUGAUCGCAUGUGUUACUACAUGCAAUGUAAUCGUAUCUAUUCUUUUUUAAAGACUUUAUGAUCCAUUUGCCGUGGGUCCCACCAGCUAUGUAGGAAUACCCUAUCUUCUUUAUAAGAGCUUUGAUACAUGCAAAAUAUAUGAAAAAACGUUCGAACAUAUAAUUUUUCCCCCCGUAAUAUAGCAAAGAUCACGAAAAGGCCCGAAAAAGUACAUUUAGUUCAAAAUUUGGAGUAGAAAAACCCAAUAGAAGAAUUCCAUUUUCCUUCGUCAUUCAUCGGAGAGCUCUCUUUGGGCUUUCCGAAAAGGUAUCACAUGCCAAGUUUGGCCUCACGGUCUAAACGUUAUAGAGUCAUACAUUUUUAACAAAACAAAAUUGAGAAAAACCGAAAAAAAGAGGGAUGCAACACGAGGACUCUCCAGAAGGUAACCCAUCUUAGUACUACUUUCGCCCAAGCACCCUUAACUGCGGAGUUCUGAUAGGACCCGGUGCAUUAGUGCUGGUAUGAUCGCAUGUGUUACUACAUGCAAUGUAAUCGUAUAUAUUCAUUUUUAAAGACUUUAUGAUCCAUUUGCCGUGGGUCCUACCAGCUAUGUAGAAAUACCCUAUCUUCUUUAUAAGAGCUUUCAUUCACGCAAAAUAAUGGAAAACAAUGUCCGAAGAUAUAAUUUCCCCCCCCCCCCGUAAUAUAGCAAAGAUCACGAAAAGGCCCGAAAAAGUACAUUAAGUUCAAAAUUUGGAGUAGAAAAAAAAACAAUAGAAGAAUUCCAUUUUCCUUCCUCAGUCAUCGGAGAGCUCUCUUUGGGCUUUCCGAAAAGGUAUCACAUGCCAAGCUUGGCCUCACGGUCUAAAGGUUAUAGAGUCAUACAUUUUUAACAAAAAAAAAAUAGAAAAACAGAAAAAAGAGGGAUGCAAUACGAGGACUUUCCAGGAGGUCACCCAUCCUAGUACAACUCUCGCCGAAGCACGCUUAACUACGGUGUUCAGAUGGAAUCUGGUGCAUUAGUGCUGGUAUGAUGUCAUUUGUUACUACAUGCAAUGCAAUCAUAUCUAUUCUUAUUUAAAGACUUUAUGAUCCAUUUGCCGUGGGUCCCACCUGUAGGAAUACCCUAUCUUGUUUAUAAAAGAUUUGAUACAUGCAAAAUACUCGAAAACAAUGUCCGAACAUAUAAUUUUCACCCCGUAAUAUAGCAAAGAUCACGAAAAGGCCCGAAAAAGUACAUUAAAGUCAAAAUUUGGAGUAGAAAAAAACCCAAUAGAAGUAUUCCAUUCUCCUUCGUCAUUCAUCGGAGAGCUCUCUUUAGGCUUUCCGAAAAGAUAUCACAUGCCAAGUUUGGCCUCACGGUUUAAAAGUUAUAGAGUCAUAGAUUUUUAACAAAACAAAAAGAGAAAAACCGAAAAAAAUUGGGAUGCAACACGAGGACUUUCCUGGAGGUCACCCAUCCUAGUACUACUCUCGCCCAAGCACCCUUAACUGCGUAGUUCUGAUGGGAUCCGAUGCUUUAGUGCUGGUAUGAUCGCAUCUGUUACUACAUGCAAUGUAAUCGUAUCUAUUCUUUUUUAAAGACUUUAUGAUCCAUUUGCCGUGGGUCCCACCAGCUAUGUAGGAAUACCCUAUCUUCUUUAUAAGAGCUUUGAUAAAUGCAAAAUAUUGGAAACCAAUGUCCGAACAUAUAAUUUCGCCCCCGUAAUAUAGCAAAGAUCACGAAAAAGCCCAAAAAAGUUCAUUUAGGUCAAAAUUUGAGCAGAAGAAAAAGAAAUAGAAGAAUUCCAUUUUCCUUCCUCAUUUAUUGGAGAGCUCUCUUUGGGCUUUCCGAAAAGGUAUCACAUGCCAAGUUUGGCCUCACGGUCUAAAAGUUAUAGAGUCAUACAUUUUUAACAAAAUGAAAUAGAGAAAAACCGAAAAAAAGAGGGAUGUAACACGAGGACUUUCCGGGAGGUAAUCUAUCCUACUACUACUCUCGGCCAAGCACCCUUAACUGCGGAGUUCUAAUGGGAUCCGGUGCAUUAGUGCUGGUAUGAUCGCAUGUGUUACUACAUGCAAUGUAAUCGUAUCUAUUCUUUUUUAAAGACUUUAUGAUCCAUUUGCCGUGGGUCCCACCAGCUAUGUAGGAAUACCCUAUUUUCUUUAUAAGAGCUUUGAUACAUGCAAAAUAUUGGAAAACAAUGUCCGAACAUAUUAUUUUCCCCCCGUAAUAUAGCAAAGAUCACGAAAAGGCCCGAAAAAGUACAUUUAGUUCAAAAUGUGGAGUAGAAAAAAAAACAAUAGAAGAAUUCCAUUUUCCUUCGUCAUUCAUCGGAGAGCUCUCUUUAGGCUUUCCGAAAAGGUAUCACAUGCCAAGUUUGGCCUCACGGUCUAAAAGUUAUAGAAUCAUACAUUUUUAACAAAACAAAAUAGAGAAAAACCGAAAAAGAGGGAUUUAACACGAGGACUUUCCGAGAGGUAACCCAUCCUAGUACUACUCUCGUCCAAGCACCCUUAACUGCGGAGUUCUGAUGGGAUCCGGUGUAUUAGUGCUGGUAUGAUCGCAUGUGUUACUACAUGCAAUGUAAUCGUAUCUAUUCUUUUUUAAAGACUUUAUAAUCCAUUUGCCGUGGGUCCCACCAGCUAUGUAGGAAUACCCUAUUUUCUUUAUAAGAGCUUUGAUACAUGCAAAAUAUUAGAAAACAAUGUCCGAACAUAUUAUUUUCCCCCCGUUAUAUAGCAAAGAUCACGAAAAGGCCCGAAAAAGUACAUUUAGUUCAAAAUUUGGAGUAGAAAAAAAAACAAUAGAAGAAUUCCAUUUUCCUUCGUCAUUCAUCGGAGAGCUCUCUUUAGGCUUUCCGAAAAGGUAUCACAUGCCAAGUUUGGCCUCACGGUCUAAAAGUUAUAGAGUCAUACAUUUUUAACAAAACAAAAUAGAGAAAAACCGAAAAAAGAGGGAUUUAACACGAGGACUUUCUGAGAGGUAACCCAUCCGAGUACUACACUCGCCCAAGCACCCUUAACUACGGAGUUCUGAUGGGAUACGGUGCAUUAGUGCUGGUUUGAUCGCAUCUGUUACUACAUGCAAUGUAAUCGUAUCUAUUCUUUUUUAAAGACUUUAUGAUCCAUUUGCCGUGGGUGCCACCAACUAUGUAGGAUUAUCCUAUAUUCUUUAUAAGAGCUUUGAUACAUGAAAAAUAUUCGAAAACAAUGUCCGAACAUAUAAUUUCCACCCGUAAUAUAGCAAAGAUCACGAAAAGGCCCAAAAAAGUACAUUAAGUUUAAAAUUUGGAGUAGAAAAAAAACCAAUAGAAGAAUUCCAUUUUCCUUCCUCAGUCAUCGGAGAGCUCUCUUUGGGCUUUCCGAAAAGGUAUCACAUGCCAAGUUUGACCUCACGGUCUAAAGGUUAUAGAGUCAUACAUUUUUAACAAAAAAAAAUAGAAAAACAGGAAAAAAGAGGGAUGCAAUACGAGGACUUUCCAGGAGGUCACCCAUCCUAGUACAACUCUCGCCGAAGCACGCUUAACUGCGGUGUUCAGAUGGGAUCUGGUGCAUUAGUGCUCGUAUGAUGGCAUUUGUUACUACAUGCAAUGCAAUCGUAUCUACUCUUAUUUAAAGACUUUAUGAUCCAUUUGCCGUGGGUGCCACCAACUAUGUAGGAUUAUCCUAUAUUCUUUAUAAGAGCUUUGAUACAUGCAAAAUAUUCGAAAGCAAUGUCCGAACAUAUAAUUUCCCCCCCGUAAUAUAGCAAAGAUCACGAAAAGGCCCGAAAAAGUACAUUUAGUUCAAAAUUUGGAGUAGAAAAAAAAACAAUAGAAGAAUUCCAUUUUCCUUCGUCAUUCAUCGGAGAGCUCUCUUUAGGCUUUCCGAAAAGGUAUCACAUGCCAAGUUUGGCCUCACGGUCUAAAAGUUAUAGAGUCAUACAUUUUCAACAAAACAAAAUAGAGAAACACCGAAAAAAGAGGGAUUUAACACGAGGACUUUCCGAGAGGUAACCCAUCCUAGUACUACUCUCGUCCAAGCACCCUUAACUGCGGAGUUCUGAUGGGAUCCGGUGCAUUAGUGCUGGUAUGAUCGCAUGUGUUACUACAUGCAAUGUAAUCAUAUCUAUUCUUUUUUUAAAGACUUUAUGAUUCAUUUGCCGUGGGUCCCACCAGCUAUGUAGGAAUACCCUAUUUUCUUUAUAACAGCUUUGAUACAUGCAAAAUAUUGGAAAACAAUGUCCGAACAUAUUAUUUUCCUCCCGUAAUAUAGCAAAGAUCACGAAAAGGCCCGAAAAAGUACAUUUAGUUCAAAAUUUGGAGUAGAAAAAAAAACAAUAGAAGAAUUCCAUUUUCCUUCGUCAUUCAUCGGAGAGCUCUCUUUAGGCUUUCCGAAAAGGUAUCACAUGCCAAGUUUGGCCUCACGGUCUAAAAGUAUAGAGUCAUACAUUUUUAAAAAAACAAAAUAGAGAAAAACCGAAAAAAGAGGGAUUUAACACGAGGACUUUCCGAGAGGUAACCCAUCCUAGUACUACUCUCGUCCAAGCACCCUUAACUGCGGAGUUCUAAUGGGAUCUGGUGCAUUAGUGCUGGUAUGAUCGCAUGUGUUACUACAUGCAAUGUAAUCGUAUCUAUUCUUUUUUAAAGACUUUAUGAUCCAUUUGCCGUGGGUCCCACCAGCUAUGUAGGAAUACCCUAUUUUCUUUAUAAGAGCUUUGAUACAUGCAAAAUAUUGGAAAACAAUGUCCGAACAUAUUAUUUUCCCCCCGUUAUAUAGCAAAGAUCACGAAAAGGCCCGAAAAAGUACAUUUAGUUCAAAAUUUGGAGUAGAAAGAAAAACAAUAGAAGAAUUCCAUUUUCCUUCGUCAUUCAUCUGAGAGCUCUCUUUAGGCUUUCCGAAAAGGUAUCACAUGCCAAGUUUGGCCUCACGGUCUAAAAGUUAUAGAGUCAUACAUUUUUAACAAAACAAAAUAGAGAAAAACCGAAAAAGAGGGAUUUAAGACGAGGACUUUCUGAGAGGUAACCCAUCCGAGUACUACACUCGCCCAAGCACCCUUAACUACGGAGUUCUGAUGGGAUACGGUGCAUUAGUGCUGGUUUGAUCGCAUGUGUUACUACAUGCAAUGUAAUCGUAUCUAUUCUUUUUUAAAGACUUUAUGAUCCAUUUGCCGUGGGUGCCACCAACUAUGUAGGAUUAUCCUAUAUUCUUUAUAAGAUCUUUGAUACUUGCAAAAUAUUCGAAAAAAAUGUCCGAACAUAUAAUUUCCCCCCCGUAAUAUAGCAAAGAUCACGAAAAGGCCCAAAAAAGUACAUUAAGUUUAAAAUUUGGAGUAGAAAAAAAACCAAUAGAAGAAUUCCAUUUUCCUUCCUCAGUCAUCGGAGAGCUCUCUUUGGGCUUUCCGAAAAGUUAUCACAUGCCAAGUUUGACCUCACGGUCUAAAGGUUAUAGAGUCAUACAUUUUUAACAAAAAAAAAUAGAAAAACAGGAAAAAAGAGGGAUGCAAUACGAGGACUUUCCAGCAGGUCACCCAUCCUAGUACAACUCUCGCCAAAGCACGCUUAACUGCGGUGUUCAGAUGGGAUCUGGUGCAUUAGUGCUUGUAUGAUGGCAUUUGUUACUACAUGCAAUGCAAUCGUAUCGAUUCUUAUUUAAAGACUUUAUGAUCCAUUUGUCGUGGGUGCCACCUGUAGGAAUACCCUAUCUUGUUUAUAAGAGAUUUGAUACAUGCAAAAUAUUCGAAAACAAUGUCCGAACAUAUAAUUUUUGCCCCGUAAUAUAGAAAAGAUCACAAAAAAGUCCAAAAAAGUACAUUUAGGUCAAAAUUUGAGCAGAAAAAAAAGAAAUAGAAGAAUUCCAUUUUCCUUCGUCAUUCAUCGGAGAGCUCUCUUUAGGCUUUCCGAAAAGAUAUCACAUGCCAAGUUUGGCCUCACGGUCUAAAAGUUAUAGAGUCAUACAUUUUUCACAAAACAAAAAGAGAAAAACCGAAAAAAAUAGGGAUGCAACACGAGGACUUUCCUGGAGGUCACCCAUCCUAGUACUAAUCUCGCCCAAGCACCCUUAACUGCGUAGUUCUGAUGGGAUCCGAUGCAUUAGUCCUGGUAUGAUCGCAUCUGUUACUAUAUGCAAUAUAAUCGUAUCUAUUCUUUUUUAAAGACUUUAUGAUCCAUUUGCCGUGGGUCCCACCAGCUAUGUAGGAUACCCUAUCUUCAUAAUAAGAGCUUUGAUAAAUGCAAAAUAUUGGAAAACAAUGUCCGAACAUAUAAUUUCCCCCCCCCCCCCCGUAAUAUAGCAAAGAUCACGAAAAAGCCCAAAAAAGUACAUUUAGGUCAAAAUUUGAGUAGAAAAAAAAACAAAUAGAGGAAUUCCAUUUUCCGUCCUCAUUCAUCGGAGAGCUCUCUUUCGGCUUUCCGAAAAGGUAUCACAUGCCAAGUUUGGCCUCACGGUCUAAAAGUUAUAGAGUCAUACAUUUUUAACAAAACAAAAUAGAGAAAAACCGAAAAAAAGAAGGAUGCAACACGAGGACUUCCCGGGAGGUCACCCAUCCUAGUACUACUCUCGCCUAAGCACCCUUAACUGCGGAGUUCUGAUGGGAUCAGGUGCAUUAGUGCUGGUAUGAUCGCAUGUGGUACUACAUGCAAUGUAAUCGUAUCUAUUCCUUUUGAAAGACUUUAUGAUCCAUUUGCCGUGGGUCCCACCAGCUAUGUAGGAAUACCCUAUCUUCUUUAUAAGAGCUUUGAUACAUGCAAAAUAUUUGAAAACAAUGUCCGAACAUAUAAUUUUCCCCCCGUUAUAUAGCAAAGAUCACGAAAAGGCCCAAAAAAGUACAAUUAGUUCAAAAUUUGGAGUAGAAAAAAAAACAAUAGAAGAAUUCCAUUUUCCUUCCUCAGUCAUCGGAGAGCUCUCUUUGGGCUUUCCAAAAAGGUAUCACAUGCCAAGUUUGGCCUCACAGUCUAAAAGUUAUAGAGUCAUACAUUUUUAACAAAACAAAAUAGAGAAAAACCGAAAAAAAGAGGGAUGCAACACGAGGACUUUCCGGGAGGUAACCCAUCCUAGUACUACUCUCGCCCAAGCACCCUUAACUGCGGAGUUUUGAUGGGAUCCGGUGCAUUAGUGUUGGUAUGAUCGCAUGUGUUACUACAUGCAAUGUAAUCGUAUCUAUUCCUUUUGAAAGACUUUAUGAUCCAUUUGCCGUGGGUCCCACCAGCUAUGUAGGAAUACCCUAUCUUCUUUAUAAGAGCUUUGAUACAUACAAAAUAUUGGAUCACAAUGUCAUAACAUAUAAUUUUCCCCCCUUAAUAUAGCAAAGAUCACGAAAAGGCCCGAAAAAAUACAUUUAGUUCAAAAUUUGGAGUAGAAAAAAAAAAUAUAAGAAUUCCAUUUUCCUUCCUCUGUUAUCGGAGAGCUCUCUUUGGGCUUUCCGAAAAGGUAUCACAUGCCAAGUUUGGCCUCACGGUCUAAAAGAUAUAAAGUCAUACAUUAUUAACAAAACAAAAUAGAGAAAAACCGAAAAAAAGAAGGAUGCAACACGAGGACUUUCCGGGAGGUAAUCUAUCCUAGUACUACUCUCGCCCAAGCACCCUUAACUGCGGAGUUCUGAUGGGAUCCGGUGCAUUAGUGUUGGUAUGAUCGCAUGUGUUACUACAUGCAAUGUAACCGUAUCUAUUCUUUUUUAAAGACUUUAUGAUCCAUUUGCCGUGGGUCCCACCAGCUAUGUAGGAAUAUUCUAUCUUCUUUAUAAGAGCUUUGAUACAUGCAAAAUAUUGGAAAACAACGUCCGAACAUAUAAUUUCCCCCCCCCCCCGUAAUAUAGCAAAAAUCACGAAAAGGCCCGAAAAAGUACAUUUAGUUCAAAAUUUGCAGUAGAAAAAAAAACAAUAGAAGAAUUUCAUUUUCCUUCCUCAGUCAUCGGAGAGCUCUCUUUGGGCUUUCCAAAAAGGUAUCACAUGCCAAGUUUGGCCUCACAGUCUAAAAGUUAUAGAGUCAUACAUUUUUAACAAAACAAAAUAGAGAAAAACCGAAAAAAGAGGGAUGCAACACGAGGACUUUCCCGGAGGUAAUCUAUCCUAGUACUACUCUCGCCCAAGCACCCUUAACUGCGGAGUUCUGAUGGGAUCCGGUGCAGUAGUGCUGGUAUGAUCGCAUGUGUUACUACAUGCAAUGUAAUCGUAUCUAUUCUUUUUUAAAGACUUUAUGAUCCAUUUGCCGUGAGUCCCACCAGCUAUGUAGGAAUAUUCUAUCUUCUUUAUAAGAGCUUUGAUACAUGCAAAAUACUGGAAAACAAUGUCCGAACAUAUAAUUUUCCCCACGUAAUAUAGCAAAGAUCACGAAAAGGCCCGAAAAAGUACAUUUAGUUCAAAAUUUGGAGUAGAAAAAAAAACAAUAGAAGAAUUUCAUUUUCCUUCCCUAGUCAUCGGAGAGCUCUCUUUGGGCUUUCCAAAAAGGUAUCACAUGCCAAGUUUGGCCUCACAGUCUAAAAGUUAUAGAGUCAUACAUUUUUAACAAAACAAAAUAGAGAAAAACCGAAAAAAAAGAGGGAUGCAACACGAGGACUUUCUGGGAGGUAAUCUAUCCUAGUACUACUCUCGCCCAAGCACCCUUAACUGCGGAGUUCUGAUGGGAUCCGGUGCAGUAGUGCUGGUAUGAUCGCAUGUGUUACUACAUGCAAUGUAAUCGUAUCUAUUCUUUUUUAAAGACUUUAUGAUCCAUUUGCCGUGAGUCCCACCAGCUAUGUAGGAAUAUUCUAUCUUCUUUAUAAGAGCUUUGAUACAUGCAAAAUACUGGAAAACAAUGUCCGAACAUAUAAUUUUCCCCCCGUAAUAUAGCAAAGAUCACGAAAAGGCCCAGAAAAGUACAUUUAGUUCAAAAUUUGGAGUAGAAAAAAAAACAAUAGAAGAAUUCCAUUUUCCUUCCUCAAUCAUCGGAGAGCUCUCUUUGGGCUUUCCGAAAAGGUAUCUCAUGCCAAGUUUGGCCUCACGAACUAAAAGUUAUAGAGUCAUACAUUUUUAACAAAACAAAAUAGAGAAAAACCGAAAAAAGAGGGAUGCAACACAAGGACUUUCCGGGAGGUCACCCAUCCUAGUACUACUCUCGCCCAAGCACCCUUAACUGCGGAGUUCUGAUGGGAUCCAGUGCAUUAGUGCUGGUAUGAUCGCAUGUGUUACUACAUGCAAUGUAAUCGUAUCUAUUCUUUUUUAAAGAUUUUAUGAUCCAUUUGCCGUGGGUCCCACCAGCUAUGUAGGAAUACCCUAUCUUCUUUAUAAGAGCUUUGAUACAUACAAAAUAUUGGAUCACAAUGUCAGAACAUAUAAUUUUCCCCCCUUAAUAUAGCAAAGUUCACUAAAAGGCCCGAAAAAAUACAUUUAGUUCAAAAUUUGGAGUAGAAAAAAAAACAAUAGAAGAAUUUCAUUUUCCUUCCUCAGUCAUCGGAGAGCUCUCUUUGGGCUUUCCAAAAAGGUAUCACAUGCCAAGUUUGGCCUCACAGUCUAAAAGUUAUAGAGUCAUACAUUUUUAACAAAACAAAAUAGAGAAAAACCGAAAAAAGAGGGAUGCAACACGAGGACUUUCCCGGAGGUAAUCUAUCCUAGUACUACUCUCGCCCAAGCACCCUUAACUGCGGAGUUCUGAUGGGAUCCGGUGCAGUAGUGCUGGUAUGAUCGCAUGUGUUACUACAUGCAAUGUAAUCGUAUCUAUUCUUUUUUAAAGACUUUAUGAUCCAUUUGCCGUGAGUCCCACCAGCUAUGUAGGAAUAUUCUAUCUUCUUUAUAAGAGCUUUGAUACAUGCAAAAUACUGGAAAACAAUGUCCGAACAUAUAAUUUUCCCCACGUAAUAUAGCAAAGAUCACGAAAAGGCCCGAAAAAGUACAUUUAGUUCAAAAUUUGGAGUAGAAAAAAAAACAAUAGAAGAAUUUCAUUUUCCUUCCUCAGUCAUCGGAGAGCUCUCUUUGGGCUUUCCAAAAAGGUAUCACAUGCCAAGUUUGGCCUCACAGUCUAAAAGUUAUAGAGUCAUACAUUUUUAACAAAACAAAAUAGAGAAAAACCGAAAAAAAAGAGGGAUGCAACACGAGGACUUUCUGGGAGGUAAUCUAUCCUAGUACUACUCUCGCCCAAGCACCCUUAACUGCGGAGUUCUGAUGGGAUCCGGUGCAGUAGUGCUGGUAUGAUCGCAUGUGUUACUACAUGCAAUGUAAUCGUAUCUAUUCUUUUUUAAAGACUUUAUGAUCCAUUUGCCGUGAGUCCCACCAGCUAUGUAGGAAUAUUCUAUCUUCUUUAUAAGAUCUUUGAUACAUGCAAAAUACUGGAAAACAAUGUCCGAACAUAUAAUUUUCCCCCCGUAAUAUAGCAAAGAUCACGAAAAGGCCCAGAAAAGUACAUUUAGUUCAAAAUUUGGAGUAGAAAAAAAAACAAUAGAAGAAUUCCAUUUUCCUUCCUCAAUCAUCGGAGAGCUCUCUUUGGGCUUUCCGAAAAGGUAUCUCAUGCCAAGUUUGGCCUCACGAACUAAAAGUUAUAGAGUCAUACAUUUUUAACAAAACAAAAUAGAGAAAAACCGAAAAAAGAGGGAUGCAACACAAGGACUUUCCGGGAGGUCACCCAUCCUAGUACUACUCUCGCCCAAGCACCCUUAACUGCGGAGUUCUGAUGGGAUCCAGUGCAUUAGUGCUGGUAUGAUCGCAUGUGUUACUACAUGCAAUGUAAUCGUAUCUAUUCUUUUUUAAAGAUUUUAUGAUCCAUUUGCCGUGGGUCCCACCAGCUAUGUAGGAAUACCCUAUCUUCUUUAUAAGAGCUUUGAUACAUACAAAAUAUUGGAUCACAAUGUCAGAACAUAUAAUUUUCCCCCCUUAAUAUAGCAAAGUUCACUAAAAGGCCCGAAAAAAUACAUUUAGUUCAAAAUUUGGAGUAGAAAAAAAAACAAUAGAAGAAUUUCAUUUUCCUUCCUCAGUCAUCGGAGAGCUCUCUUUGGGCUUUCCAAAAAGGUAUCACAUGCCAAGUUUGGCCUCACAGUCUAAAAGUUAUAGAGUCAUACAUUUUUAACAAAACAAAAUAGAGAAAAACCGAAAAAAAGAGGGAUGCAACACGAGGACUUUCUGGGAGGUAAUCUAUCCUAGUACUACUCUCGCCCAAGCACCCUUAACUGCGGAGUUCUGAUGGGAUCCGGUGCAGUAGUGCUGGUAUGAUCGCAUGUGUUACUACAUGCAAUGUAAUCGUAUCUAUUCUUUUUUAAAGACUUUAUGAUCCAUUUGCCGUGAGUCCCACCAGCUAUGUAGGAAUAUUCUAUCUUCUUUAUAAGAGCUUUGAUACAUGCAAAAUACUGGAAAACAAUGUCCGAACAUAUAAUUUUCCCCCCGUAAUAUAGCAAAGAUCACGAAAAGGCCCGAAAAAGUACAUUUAGUUCAAAAUUUGGAGUAGAAAAAAAAACAAUAGAAGAAUUCCAUUUUCCUUCCUCAAUCAUCGGAGAGCUCUCUUUGGGCUUUCCGAAAAGGUAUCUCAUGCCAAGUUUGGCCUCACGAACUAAAAGUUAUAGAGUCAUACAUUUUUAACAAAACAAAAUAGAGAAAAACCGAAAAAAGAGGGAUGCAACACAAGGACUUUCCGGGAGGUCACCCAUCCUAGUACUACUCUCGCCCAAGCACCCUUAACUGCGGAGUUCUGAUGGGAUCCAGUGCAUUAGUGCUGGUAUGAUCGCAUGUGUUACUACAUGCAAUGUAAUCGUAUCUAUUCUUUUUUAAAGAUUUUAUGAUCCAUUUGCCGUGGGUCCCACCAGCUAUGUAGGAAUACCCUAUCUUCUUUAUAAGAGCUUUGAUACAUACAAAAUAUUGGAUCACAAUGUCAGAACAUAUAAUUUUCCCCCCUUAAUAUAGCAAAGUUCACUAAAAGGCCCGAAAAAAUACAUUUAGUUCAAAAUUUGGAGUAGAAAAAAAAACAAUAGAAGAAUUUCAUUUUCCUUCCUCAGUCAUCGGAGAGCUCUCUUUGGGCUUUCCAAAAAGGUAUCACAUGCCAAGUUUGGCCUCACAGUCUAAAAGUUAUAGAGUCAUACAUUUUUAACAAAACAAAAUAGAGAAAAACCGAAAAAAAGAGGGAUGCAACACGAGGACUUUCUGGGAGGUAAUCUAUCCUAGUACUACUCUCGCCCAAGCACCCUUAACUGCGGAGUUCUGAUGGGAUCCGGUGCAGUAGUGCUGGUAUGAUCGCAUGUGUUACUACAUGCAAUGUAAUCGUAUCUAUUCUUUUUUAAAGACUUUAUGAUCCAUUUGCCGUGAGUCCCACCAGCUAUGUAGGAAUAUUCUAUCUUCUUUAUAAGAGCUUUGAUACAUGCAAAAUACUGGAAAACAAUGUCCGAACAUAUAAUUUUCCCCCCGUAAUAUAGCAAAGAUCACGAAAAGGCCCGAAAAAGUACAUUUAGUUCAAAAUUUGGAGUAGAAAAAAAAACAAUAGAAGAAUUCCAUUUUCCUUCCUCAAUCAUCGGAGAGCUCUCUUUGGGCUUUCCGAAAAGGUAUCUCAUGCCAAGUUUGGCCUCACGAACUAAAAGUUAUAGAGUCAUACAUUUUUAACAAAACAAAAUAGAGAAAAACCGAAAAAAGAGGGAUGCAACACAAGGACUUUCCGGGAGGUCACCCAUCCUAGUACUACUCUCGCCCAAGCACCCUUAACUGCGGAGUUCUGAUGGGAUCCGGUGCAUUAGUGCUGGUAUGAUCGCCCGUGUUACUACAUGCAAUGCAAUCGUAUCUAUUCUUUUUUAAAGAUUUUAUGAUCCAUUUGCCGUGGGUCCCACCAGCUAUGUAGGAAUACCCUAUCUUCUUUAUAAGAGGUUUGAUACAUACAAAAUAUUGGAUCACAAUGUCAGAACAUAUAAUUUUCCCCCCUUAAUAUAGCAAAGAUCACUAAAAGGCCCGAAAAAAUACAUUUAGUUCAAAAUUUGGAGUAGAAAAAAAAACAAUAGAAGAAUUCCAUUUUCCUUCCUCAGUUAUCGGAGAACUCUCUUUGGGCUUUCCGAAAAGGUAUCACAUGCCAAGUUUGGCCUCACGGUCUAAAAGAUAUAGAGUCAUACAUUAUUAACAAAACAAAAUAGAGAAAAACCGAAAAAAAGAAGGAUGCAACACGAGGACUUUGCGGGAGGUAAUCUAUCCUAGUACUACUCUCGCCCAAGCACCCUUAACUGCGGAGUUCUGAUGGGAUCCGGUGCAUUAGUGCUGGUAUGAUCGCAUGUGUUACUACAUGCAAUGUAAUCGUAUCUAUUCUUUUUUAAAGACUUUAUGAUCCAUUUGCCGUGGGUCCNNNNNNNNNNNNNNNNNNNNNNNNNNNNNNNNNNNNNNNNNNNNNNNNNNACAUGCCAAGUUUGGCCUUACGGUCUAAAAGUUAUAGAGUAAUACANUUUUUAACAAAAAAAAAAGAAAAAAACCGAAAACAAAGAGGGAUGCAACACGAAGACUUUCCUGGAGGUCACCCAUCCUAGUACUACUCUCGCCCAAGCACACUUAACUGCGGUGUUCUGAUAGGAUCAAGUGCAUUAGUGCUGGUAUGAUCGCAUCAGUUACUACAUGCAAUGCAAUCAUAUAUAUUCUUUUUUGAAGACUUUAUGAUCCAUUUGCCGUAGGUCCCACCAGCUAUGUAGGAAUACCCUAUCUCGUUUAUAAGAGCUUUGAUACAUGCAAAAUAUUCGAAAACAAUGUCCGAACAUAUAAUUUUUGUCCCGUAAUAUAGCAAAGAUCGCGAAAAGGCCAUAAAAAAUACAUUUCGGUCAAAAUUUGGAGUAGAAAAAAAACCCUUCCUCAUUCAUUGGACAGCUCUCUUUGGGCUUUCCGAAAAGGUAUCACAUGCCAAGUUUGGCCUCACGGUCUAAACCUUAUAGACUCAUACAUUUUUCACAAAAAAAAGAAGAGAAAAACCAAAAAAAAGAGUGAUUAAACACGAGGACUUUCCUGGAGGUCACCCAUCCUAGUACUACUCUCGCCCAAGCACGCUUAACUGCGAAGUUCUGAUGGGAUCUGGUGCAUUAGUGCUGGUAUGAUCGCAUCUGUUACUACAUGCAAUGCAAUCGUAUUUAUUCUUUUUUGAAGAUUUUAUGAUUCAUUUACCGUGGGUCCCACCAGCUAUGUAGGAAUAACCUAUCUUAUUUAUAAAAGCUUUGAUACAUGCAAAAUAUUAGAAAACAAUGUCCGAACAUAUAAUGUUCGCCCCAAAAUAUAGCAAAGACCACAAAAAUGCCAUAAAAAGUACAUUAAGGUCAAAAUUUGGAGUAGGAAAAAAAUCAAUAGGAGAAUUCCAUUUUCCUUCCUUCAUUCAUCGGAGAGCUCUCUUUGGGCAUUCCAAAAAGGUAUCACAUGCCAAGUUUGGCCUCACGGUCUAAAAGUUAUAGAGUAAUACAUUUUUAACAAAAAAAAAAGAAAAAAACCGAAAACAAAGAGGGAUGCAACACGAAGACUUUCCUGGAGGUCACCCAUCCUAGUACUACUCUCGCCCAAGCACACUUAACUGCGGUGUUCUGAUAGGAUCAAGUGCAUUAGUGCUGGUAUGAUCGCAUCAGUUACUACAUGCAAUGCAAUCAUAUAUAUUCUUUUUUGAAGACUUUAUGAUCCAUUUGCCGUAGGUCCCACCAGCUAUGUAGGAAUACCCUAUCUCGUUUAUAAGAGCUUUGAUACAUGCAAAAUAUUCGAAAACAAUGUCCGAACAUAUAAUUUUUGUCCCGUAAUAUAGCAAAGAUCACGAAAAGGCCAGAAAAAAUACAUUUCGGUCAAAAUUUGGAGUAGAAAAAAAACCCUUCCUCAUUCAUUGGACAGCUCUUUUUGGGCUUUCCGAAAAGGUAUCACAUGCCAAGUUUGGCCUCACGGUCUAAACCUUAUAGACUCAUACAUUUUUCACAAAAAAAAGAAGAGAAAAACCAAAAAAAAGAGUGAUUAAACACGAGGACUUUCCUGGAGGUCACCCAUCCUAGUACUACUCUCGCCCAAGCACGCUUAACUGCGAAGUUCUGAUGGGAUCUGGUGCAUUAGUGCUGGUAUGAUCGCAUCUGUUACUACAUGCAAUGCAAUCGUAUCUAUUCUUUUUUGAAGAUUUUAUGAUUCAUUUACCGUGGGUCCCACCAGCUAUGUAGGAAUAACCUAUCUUAUUUAUAAAAGCUUUGAUACAUGCAAAAUAUUCGAAAACAAUGUCCGAACAUAUAAUGUUCGCCCCAAAAUAUAGCAAAGACCACAAAAAUGCCAUAAAAAGUACAUUAAGGUCAAAAUUUGGAGUAGGAAAAAAAUCAAUAGGAGAAUUCCAUUUUCCUUCCCUCAUUCAUCGGAGAGCUCUCUUUGGGCAUUCCAAAAAGGUAUCACAUGCCAAGUUUGGCCUCACGGUCUAAAAGUUAUAGAGUAAUACAUUUUUAACAAAAACAAAAGAAAAAAACCGAAAACAAAGAGGGAUGCAACACGAAGACUUUCCUGGAGGUCACCCAUCCUAGUACUACUCUCGCCCAAGUACACUUAACUGCGGUGUUCUGAUAGGAUCAAGUGCAUUAGUGCUGGUAUGAUCGCAUCAGUUACUACAUGCAAUGCAAUCAUAUAUAUUCUUUUUUGAAGACUUUAUGAUCCAUUUGCCGUAGGUCCCACCAGCUAUGUAGGAAUACCCUAUCUUGUUUAUAAGAGCUUUCAUACAUGCAAAAUAUUCAAAAACAAUGUCCGAACAUAUAAUUUUUGUCCCGUAAUAUAGCAAAGAUCACGAAAAGGCCAGAAAAAAUACAUUUCGGUCAAAAUUUGGAGUAGAAAAAAAACCCUUCCUCAUUCAUUGGACAGCUCUCUUUGGGCUUUCUGAAAAGGUAUCACAUGCCAAGUUUGGCCUCACGGUCUAAACCUUAUAGACUCAUACAUUUUUCACAAAAAAAAGAAGAGAAAAACCAAAAAAAAGAGUGAUUAAACACGAGGACUUUCCUGGAGGUCACCCAUCCUAGUACUACUCUCGCCCAAGCACGCUUCACUGCGAAGUUCUGAUGGGAUCUGGUGCAUUAGUGCUGGUAUGAUCGCAUCUGUUACUACAUGCAAUGCAAUCGUAUCUAUUCUUUUUUGAAGAUUUUAUGAUUCAUUUACCGUGGGUCCCACCAGAUAGGAAUAACCUAUCUUAUUUAUAAAAGCUUUGAUACAUGCAAAAUAUUCGAAAACAAUGUCCGAACAUAUAAUGUUCGCCCCAAAAUAUAGCAAAGACCACAAAAAUGCAAUAAAAAGUACAUUAAGGUCAAAAUUUGGAGUAGGAAAAAAAUCAAUAGGAGAAUUCCAUUUUCCUUCCCUCAUUUAUCGGAGAGCUCUCUUUGGGCAUUCCAAAAAGGUAUCACAUGCCAAGUUUGGCCUCACGGUCUAAAAGUUAUAGAGUAAUACAUUUUUAACAAAACAAAAAAGAAAAAAACCGAAAACAAAGAGGGAUGCAACACGAAGACUUUCCUGGAGGUCACCCAUCCUAGUACUACUCUCGCCCAAGCACACUUAACUGCGGUGUUCUGAUAGGAUCAAGUGCAUUAGUGCUGGUAUGAUCGCAUCAGUUACUACAUGCAAUGCAAUCAUAUAUAUUCUUUUUUGAAGACUUUAUGAUCCAUUUGCCGUAGGUCCCACCAGCUAUGUAGGAAUACCCUAUCUUGUUUAUAAGAGCUUUGAUACAUGCAAAAUAUACGAAAACAAUGUCCGAACAUAUAAUUUUUGUCCCGUAAUAUAGCAAAAAGGCCAGAAAAAAUACAUUUCGGUCAAAAUUUGGAGUAGAAAAAAAACCCUUCCUCAUUCAUUGGACAGCUCUCUUUGGGCUUUCCGAAAAGGUAUCACAUGCCAAGUUUGGCCUCACGGUCUAAACCUUAUAGGCUCAUACAUUUUUCACAAAAAAAAGAAAAGAAAAACCAAAAAAAAGAGUGAUUAAACACGAGGACUUUCCGGGAGGUCACCCAUCCUAGUACUACUCUCGCCGAAGCACGCUUAACUGCGAAGUUCUGAUGGGAUCUGGUGCAUUAGUGCUGGUAUGAUCGCAUCUGUUACUACAUGCAAUGCAAUCGUAUCUAUUCUUUUUUGAAGAUUUUAUGAUUCAUUUACCGUGGGUCCCACCAGCUAUGUAGGAAUAACCUAUCUUAUUUAUAAAAGCUUUGAUACAUGCAAAAUAUUCGAAAACAAUGUCCGAACAUAUAAUGUUCGCCCCAAAAUAUAGCAAAGACCACAAAAAUGCCAUAAAAAGUACAUUAAGGUCAAAAUUUGGAGUAGGAAAAAAAUCAAUAGGAGAAUUCCAUUUUCCUUCCCUCAUUCAUCGGAGAGCUCUCUUUGGGCAUUCCAAAAAGGUAUCACAUGCCAAGUUUGGCCUCACGGUCUAANAGUUAUAGAGUAAUACAUUUUUAACAAAAAAAAAAGAAAAAAACCGAAAACAAAGAGGGAUGCAACACGAAGACUUUCCUGGAGGUCACCCAUCCUAGUACUACUCUCGCCCAAGUACACUUAACUGCGGUGUUCUGAUAGGAUCAAGUGCAUUAGUGCUGGUAUGAUCGCAUCAGUUACUACAUGCAAUGCAAUCAUAUAUAUUCUUUUUUGAAGACUUUAUGAUCCAUUUGCCGUAGGUCCCACCAGCUAUGUAGGAAUACCCUAUCUUGUUUAUAAGAGCUUUGAUACAUGCAAAAUAUUCGAAAACAAUGUCCGAACAUAUAAUUUUUGUCCCGUAAUAUAGCAAAGAUCACGAAAAGGCCAGAAAAAAUACAUUUCGGUCAAAAUUUGGAGUAGAAAAAAAGCCCUUCCUCAUUCAUUGGACAGCUCUCUUUGGGCUUUCCGAAAAGGUAUCACAUGCCAAGUUUGGCCUCACGGUCUAAACCUUAUAGACUCAUACAUUUUUCACAAAAAAAAGAAGAGAAAAACCAAAAAAAAGAGUGAUUAAACACGAGGAUUUUCCUGGAGGUCACCCAUCCUAGUACUACUCUCGCCCAAGCACGCUUAACUGCGAANNNNNNNNNNNNNNNNNNNNNNNNNNNNNNNNNNNNNNNNNNNNNNNNNNGUGUUACUACAUGCAAUGUAAUCGUAUCUAUUCUUUUUUAAAGACUUUAUGAUCCAUUUGCCGUGGGUCCCACCAGCUAUGUAGGAAUAUCCUAUAUUCUUUAUAAGAGCUUUGAUACAUGCAAAAUAUUCGAAAACAAUGUCCGAACAUAUAAUUUCCCCCCCGUAAUAUAGCAAAGAUCACGAAAAGGCCCAAAAAAGUACAUUAAGUUUAAAAUUUGGAGUAGAAAAAAAACCAAUAGAAAAAUUCCAUUUUCCUUCCUCAGUCAUCGAAGAGCUCUCUUUGGGCUUUCUGAAAAGGUAUCACAUGCCAAGUUUGGCCUCACGGUCUAAAAGUUAUAGAGUCAUACAUUUUUAACAAAACAAAAAGAGAAAAACCGAAAAAAACAGGGAUGCAACACGAGGACUUUCCUGGAGGUCUCCCAUCCUAGUACUACUCUCGCCCAAGCACCCUUAACUGCGUAGUUCUGAUGGGAUCCGAUGCAUUAGUGCUGGUAUGAUCGCAUCUGUUACUACAUGCAAUGUAAUCGUAUCUAUUCUUUUUUAAAGACNUUUAUGAUCCAUUUGCCGUGGGUCCCACCAGCUAUGUAGGAAUACCCUAUCUUCUUAAUAAGAGCCUUGAUAAAUGCAAAAUAUUGGAAAACAAUGUCCGAACAUAUAAUGCCCCCCCCCCCGUAAUAUAGCAAAGAUCACGAAAAUGCCCAAAAAAGUACAUUUAGGUCAAAAUUUGAGUAGAAAAAAAAACAAUAGAAGAAUUCCAUUUUCCUUCCUCAUUUAUCGGAGAGCUCUCUUUGGGCUUUCCGAAAAGGUAUCACAUGACAAGUUUGGCCUCACGGUCUAAAAGAUAUAGAGUCAUACAUUAUUAACAAAACAAAAUAGAGAAAAACCGAAAAAAAAGAGGGAUGCAACGCGAGGACUUUCCGGGAGGUAAUCUAUCCUAGUACUACUCUCGCCCAAGCACCCUUACCUGCGGAGUUCUGAUGGGAUCCGGUGCAGUAGUGCUGGUAUGAUCGCAUGUGUUACUACAUGCAAUGCAAUCAUAUAUAUUCUUUUUUGAAGACUUUAUGAUCCAUUUGCCGUAGGUCCCACCAGCUAUGUAGGAAUACCCUAUCUUGUUUAUAAGAGCUUUGAUACAUGCAAAAUAUUCGAAAACAAUGUCCGAACAUAUAAUUUUUGUCCCGUAAUAUAGCAAAGAUCACGAAAAGGCCAGAAAAAAUACAUUUCGGUCAAAAUUUGGAGUAGAAAAAAACCCCUUCCUCAUUCAUUGGACAGCUCUCUUUGGGCUUUCCGAAAAGGUAUCACAUGCCAAGUUUGGUCUCACGGUUUAAAAGUUAUAGAGUCAUACAUUUUUCACAAAAAAAAGAAGAGAAAAAACAAAAAAAAGAGUGAUGAAACACGAGGACUUUCCUAGAGGUCACCCAUCCUAGUACUACUCUCGCCCAAGCACGCGUAACUGCGAAGUUCUGAUGGGAUCUGGUGCAUUAGUGCUGGUAUGAUCGCAUCUGUUACUACAUGCAAUGCAAUCGUAUCUAUUCUUUUUUGAAGAUUUUAUGAUCCAUUUGCAGUGGGUCCCACCAGCUAUGUAGGAAUACCCUAUCUUGUUUAUAAGAGCUUUGAUACAUGCAAAAUCUUCGAAAACAAUGUCCGAACAUAUAAUUUUCGCCCCGUAAUAUAGCAAAGAUCACGAAAAUGCCAAAAUAGUACAUUAAGGUCAAAAUUUGGAGUAGGAAAAAAAACCCUUCAUCAUUCAUUGGAGAGCUCUCUCUGGGCUUUCCGAAAAGGUAUCACAUGCCAAGUUUGGCCUCACGGUCUAAAAGUUAUAAAGUCAUACAUUUUUAACAAAAAAAAAAGAGAAAAACCGAAAAAAAGAGUUAUGUAACACGAGGACUUUCCUGGAGGUCACCCGUCCUAGUACUACUCUCGCCCAAACACGCUUAACUGUGGUGUUCUGAUAGGAUCAAGUGCAUUAGUGCUGGUAUGAUCGCAUCAGUUACUACAUGCAAUGCAAUCAUAUAUAUUCUUUUUUGAAAACUUUAUGAUCCAUUUGCCGUAGGUCCCACCAGCUAUGUCGGAAUACCCUAUCUUGUUUAUAAGAGCUUUGAUACAUGCAAAAUAUUCGAAAACAAUGUCCGAACAUAUAAUUUUUGUCCCGUAAUAUAGCAAAGAUCACGAAAAGGCCAAAAAAAAUACAUUUCGGUCAAAAUUUGGAGUAGAAAAAAACCCCUUCCUCAUUCAUUCGACAACUCUCUUUGGGCUUUCCGAAAAGGUAUCACAUGCCAAGUUUGGUCUCACGGUCUAAAAGUUAUAGAGUCAUACAUUUUUCACAAAAAAAAGAAGAGAAAAAACCAAAAAAAGAGUGAUGAAACACGAGGACUUUCCUGGAGGUCACUCAUGCUAGUACUACUCUCGCCCAAGCACGCUUAACUGCGAAGUUCUGAUGGGAUCUGGUGCAUUGGUGAUGGUAUGAUCGCAUCUGUUACUACAUGCAAUGCAAUCGUAUCUAUUUUUUUUUGAAGAUUUUAUGAUCCAUUUGCAGUGUGUCCCACCAGCUAUGUAGGAAUACCCUAUCUUGUUUAUAAGAGCUUUGAUACAUGCAAAAUAUUCGAAAACAAUGUCCGAACAUAUAAUUUUUGUCCCGUAAUAUAGCAAAGAUCACGAAAAGACCAGAAAAAAUACAUUUCGGUCAAAAUUUGGAGUAGAAAAAAAACCCUUCCUCAUUCAUUGGACAGCUCUCUUUGGGCUUUCCGAAAAGGUAUCACAUGCCAAGUUUGGUCUCACGGUUUAAAAGUUAUAGAGUCAUACAUUUUUCACAAAAAAAAGAAGAGAAAAAACAAAAAAAAGAGUGAUGAACCACGAGGACUUUCCUGGAGGUCACCCAUCCUAGUACUACUCUCGCCCAAGCACGCGUAACUGCGAAGUUCUGAUGGGAUCUGGUGCAUUAGUGCUGGUAUGAUCACAUCUGUUACUACAUGCAAUGCAAUCGUAUCUAUUCUUUUUUGAAGAUUUUAUGAUCCAUUUGCAGUGGGUCCCACCAGCUAUGUAGGAAUACCCUAUCUUGUUUAUAAGAGCUUUGAUACAUGCAAAAUCUUCGAAAACAAUGUCCGAACAUAUAAUUUUCGCCCCGUAAUAUAGCAAAGAUCACGAAAAUGCCAAAAUAGUACAUUUAGGUCAAAAUUUGGAGUAGGAAAAAAAAACCUUCAUCAUUCAUUGGAUAGCUCUCUCUGGGCUUUUCGAAAAGGUAUCACAUGCCAAGUUUGGCCUCACGGUCUAAAAGUUAUAAAGUCAUACAUUUUUAACAAAAAAAAAAGAGAAAAACCGAAAAAAAGAGUUAUGAACCACGAGGACUUUCCUGGAGGUCACCCGUCCUAGUACUACUCUCGCCCAAACACGCUUAACUGCGGUGUUCUGAUAGGAUCAAGUGCAUUAGUGCUGGUAUGAUCGCAUCAGUUACUACAUGCAAUGCAAUCAUAUAUAUUCUUUUUUGAAGACUUUAUGAUCCAUUUGCCGUAGGUCCCACCAGCUAUGUAGGAAUACCCUAUCUUGUUUAUAAGAGCUUUGAUACAUGCAAAAUAUUCGAAAACAAUGUCCGAACAUAUAAUUUUUGUCCCGUAAUAUAGCAAAGAUCACGAAAAGGCCAAAAAAAAUACAUUUCGGUCAAAAUUUGGAGUAGAAAAAAACCCCUUCCUCAUUCAUUGGACAGCUCUCUUUGGGCUUUCCGAAAAGGUAUCACAUGCCAAGUUUGGUCUCACGGUCUAAAAGUUAUAGAGUCAUACAUUUUUCAGAAAAAAAAGAAGAGAAAAAACCAAAAAAAGAGUGAUGAAACACGAGGACUUUCUUGGAGGCCACCCAUCCUAGUACUACUCUCGCCCAAGCACGCUUAACUGCGAAGUUCUGAUGGGAUCUGGUGCAUUAGUGAUGGUAUGAUCGCAUCUGUUACUACAUGCAAUGCAAUCGUAUCUAUUCUUUUUUGAAGAUUUUAUGAUCCAUUUGCAGUGGGUCCCACCAGCUAUGUAGGAAUACCCUAUCUUGUUUAUAAGAGCUUUGAUACAUGCAAAAUAUUCGAAAACAAUGUCCGAACAUAUAAUUUUCGCCCCGUAAUAUAGCAAAGAUCACGAAAAUGCCGAAAUAGUACAUUAAGGUCAAAAUUUGGAGUAGGAAAAAAAAACCUUCCUCAUUCAUUGGAGAGCUCUCUUUGGGUUUUCCGAAAAGGUAUCACAUGCCAAGUUUGGCCUCACGGUCUAAAAGUUAUAAAGUCAUACAUUUUUAACAAAAAAAAAAAGAGAAAAACCGAAAAAAAGAGUUAUGCAACACGAGGACUUUCCUGGAGGUCACCCGUCCUAGUACUACUCUCGCCCAAACACGCUUAACUACGGUGUUCUGAUAGGAUCAAGUGCAUUAGUGCUGGUAUGAUCGCAUCAGUUACUACAUGCAAUGCAAUCAUAUAUAUUCUUUUUUGAAGACUUCAUGAUCCAUUUGCCGUAGGUCCCACCAGCUAUGUAGGAAUACCCUAUCUUGUUUAUAAGAGCUUUGAUACAUGCAAAAUAUUCGAAAACAAUGUCCGAACAUAUAAUUUUUGUCCCGUAAUAUAGCAAAGAUCACGAAAAGGCCAGAAAAAAUAAAUUUCGGUCAAAAUUUAGAGUAGAAAAAAACCCCUUCCUCAUUCAUUGGACAACUCUCUUUGGGCUUUCCGAAAAGGUAUCACAUGCCAAGUUUGGCCUCACGGUCUAAAAGUUAUAGAGUCAUACAUUUUUCACAAAAAAAAGAAGAGAAAAACCAAAAAAAAGAGUGAUGAAACACGAGGACUUUCCUGGAGGUCACCCAUCCUAGUACUACUCUCGCCCAAGCACGCUUAACGGCGGUGUUCUGAUAGGAUCAAUUACAUUUGUGCUGGUAUGAUCGCAUCAGUUACUACAUGCAAUGCGAUCAUAUAUAUUCUUUUUUGAAGACUUUACAAUCCAUUUGUCGUAGGUCCCACCAGCUAUGUAGGAAUCCCCUAUCUUGUUUAUAAGAGCUUUGAUACAUGCAAAAUAUUCGAAAACAAUGUUCGAACAUAUAAUUUUUCGCCCCGUAAUAUAGCAAAGAUCACGAAAAGGCCAGAAAAAGUACAUUUAGGUCAAAAUUUGGAGUAGAAAAAACCCCCCCUUCCUCAUUCAUUGGAGAGCUCUCUUUGGGCUUUCCGGAAAGGUAUCACAUGCCAAGUUUGGCCUCACGGUCUAAACCUUAUAGACUCAUACAUUUUUAACAAAAAAAAGAAGAGAAAAAACGAAAAAAAGAAGGAUACAACACGAGGACUUUCCGAGAGGUUACCCAUCUUCGUACUACUCUCGCACAAGUACGCUUAACUGCGGAGUUCUGAUGGGAUCUGGUGCAUUAGUGCUGGUAUGAUCGCAUCUGUUAUUACAUGCAAUGCAAUCGUAUCUAUUCUUUUUUCAAGACUUUAUGAUCCAUUUGCCGUGGGUCCCACCAGCUACGUAGGAAUACCCUAUCUUGUUUAUAAGAGCUUUGAUACAUGCAAAAUAUUCGAAAACAAUGUCCGAACAUAUAAUUUUCGUCCCGUAAUAUAGCAAAGAUCACAAAAAGGCCAGAAAGAGUACAUUUACGUCAAAAUUUGGAUAGAAAAAAAACAAAUAGAAGAAUUCCAUUUUGACUUCCUCAUUCAUCGGAAAGCUCUCUUUGGGCUUUCCGAAAAGGUAUCACAUGCCAAGUUUGGAAUCACGGUUUAAAAGUUAUAGAGUCAUACAUUUUUAACAAAAAAUAAAGAGAAAACCCGAAAAAUGAGGGAUGCAACACGAGGACUUUUCGGGAGGUCACCCAUCGUAGUACUACUCUCGCCCAAGCACGCUUAACUGUAGAGUUCUGAUGGGAUCCGGUUCAUUAUUGCUGGUAUGAUCGCAUCCGUUACUACAUGCAAUGCAAUCGUAUCUAUUCUUUUUUGAAGACUUUAUGAUCCAUUUGCCGUGGGUCCCACCAGCUAUGUUGGAAUACCCUAUCUUGUUUAUAAGAGCUUUGUUACAUGCAAAAUAUUCGAAAACAAUGUCCGAACAUAUAAUAUUUGCCCCGUAAUAUAGCAAAGAUCACGAAAAGGCCAGAAAACCUAUAUUAAGUUCAAAAUUUGGAGUAGAAAAAAACCAAUAGAAGAAUUCCAUUUUCCUUCCUCACUCAUCGGAGAGCUCUCUUUGGGGCUUUCCGAAAAGGUAUCACAUGCAAAGUUUGGCCUCACAGGCUAAAAGUUAUAGAGUCGUACAUUUUUAACAAAAAAAAAAAGAGAAAAGCCGAAAAAAAGAAGGAUGCAACACAAGGACUUUCCGGGAGGUCAGCCAUCCUAAUAUUACUCUCGCCCAAGCACGCUUAACUGUAGAGUUCUGAUGGGAUCCGGUGCAUUAGUGCUGGUAUGAUCGCAUCUGUUACUACAUGCAAUGCAAUCGUAUCUAUUCUUUUUUUAAGACUUUAUGAUCCAUUUACCGUGGGUCCCACCAGCUACGUAGGAAUAACCUAUCUUAUUUAUAAGAGCUUUGAUACAUGCAAAAUAUUCGAAAACAAUGUCCGAACAUAUAAUUUUCGUCCCGUAAUAUAGCAAAGAUCACAAAAAGGCCAGAAAGAGUACAUUAAGGUCAAAAUUUUGGAGUAGAAAAAAAAACCCUUCCUCAUUCAUUAAAGAGCUCUCUUUGGCAUUUCCGAAAAGGUGUCACAUGCCAAGUUCGGCCUCACGGUCUAAAAGUUAUAGAGUCAUACAUUGUUAACAAAAAAAAAGAGAAAAACCGAUUAAAAGAGUUAUGCAACACAAGGACUUUCCUGGAGGUCACCCGUCCUAGUACUACUCUCGCCCAAGCACGCUUAAAUGCGGAGUUCUGAUGGGAUCCGGUCCAUGAGUGGUGGUAUGAUCACAUCCGUUACUACAUGCAAUGCAAUCGUAUCUAUUAUUUUUUGAAGACUUUAUGAUCCAUUUGCCGUGGGUCCCACCAGCUAUGUAGGAAUACCCUAUCUUGUUUAUAAGAGCUUUGAUACAUCCAAAAUAUUCGAAAACAAUGUUGGAACGUAUAAGUUUCGCUCAGUAAUAUAGCAAAGAUCACGAAAAGGCCACAAAAAGUACAUUAAGGUAAAAAUUUAGAGUAGGAAAAAAAAACAAUAGGAGAAUUCCAUGUUCCUUCCUCAAUCAUCGGAGAGCUCUCUUUGGGCUUUCCAAAAAGGUAUCACAUGCCAAGUUUGGCCUCACGGUCUAAAAGUUAUAGAGUCAUACAUUUUUAACAAAAAAAAAUAGAGAAAAACCAAAAAAAAGAGGGAUGCAACACGAAGACUUUCCUGGAGGUCACCCAUCCUAGUACUACUCUCGCCCAAGCACGCUUAACUGCGGUGUUCUGAUAGGAUCAAGUGCAUUAGUGCUGGUAGGAUCGCAUUCGUUACUACAUGCAAUGCAAUUAUAUAUAUUCUUUUUUGAAGACUUUAUGAUCCAUUUGCGGUAGGUCCCACCAGCUAUGUAGGAAUACCCUAUCUUGCUUAUAAGAGUUUUGAUACAUGCAAAAAUAUUCGAAAACAAUGUCCGAACAUAUAAUUUUUGUCCCGUAAUAUAACAAAGAUCACGAAAAGGCCAAAAAUAGUACAUUUCGGUCAAAACAUGGAGCAGAAAAAAAACCCCUUCCUCAUUCAUCGGAGAGCUCUCAUUGGGCUUUCCGAAAAGAUAUCACAUGCAAAGUUUGGCCUCACGGUUUAAAAGUUAUAGAGUCAAAUAUUUUUAACAAAAAAAAGAGAGAAAAACCGAAAACAAAGAGGGAUGCAACACGAGGACUUUCCGGAAGGUCACCCAUCCUAGUACUACUCUAGCCCAAGCACGCUUAACCGCGGAGUUCUGAUAGGAUCCGGUGCAUUAGUGCUGGUAUGAUCGCAUCAGUUACUACAUGCAAUGCAAUCAUAUAUAUUUUUUUUGAAGACUUUAUGAUCCAUUUGCCGUGGGUCCCACCAGCUAUGUAGGAAUACCUAUCUUGUUUAUAAGAGCUUUGAUACAUGCAAAAUAUUUGAAAACAAUGUCCGAACGUAUAAUCUUCGUCCCGUAAUAUAGCAAAGAUCACGAAAAGGCCAGAAAAAGUACAUUAAGGUCAAAAUUUUGACUAGAAAAAAAAAACAAUAGAAAAAUUCCAUUGUCCUUCCUCAUUCAUCGGAGAGUUCUCUUUGGGCUUUCCGAAAAGGUAUCACAUGCCAAGUUUGGCCUCACGGUCUAAAACUUAUAGAAUCAUACAUUCUUAACAAAAAAAAAAAAAAAACCGAAAAAAAGAAGAAUGCAACACAAGGACUUUCCAGGAGGUCAACCAUCCUAGUAGUACUCUCGCCCAAUCACGCUUAACUGCAGAGUUCUGAUGGGAUCCGGUGCAUUAGUGCUGGUAUGAUCGCAUC
RNAcentral lists this long non-coding RNA (46109 nucleotides) under Arabidopsis thaliana (thale cress). RNAcentral's name for it is "long non-coding RNA (ATHA_LNC000153)". Lineage: Eukaryota; Viridiplantae; Streptophyta; Magnoliopsida; Brassicales; Brassicaceae. The record is from RNAcentral.